This 50552-nucleotide long non-coding RNA is filed under the name Eucalyptus grandis. RNAcentral describes it as "long non-coding RNA (EGRA_LNC001794)". The record is from RNAcentral. Lineage: Eukaryota; Viridiplantae; Streptophyta; Magnoliopsida; Myrtales; Myrtaceae.
GAGUUUAUAAAGCAGCUUUCCUCCAGUACUCUCUAAUGGCAAGAUUGGCAGCCUAAUAUAAUGUUCUAUUGUCAAUAAUAAUGCAAUGAUCCAUUGCGCUUGUGUCUAUUUGCGUAGCAACAUGAACCCUGAUGGGCCUUGGACCUUGGCAUAGCUGGGAAGAAACUUUAGCAGUGACCGACUGCCUAAAAAAUUUCCCAUAUCAUUUUCCUUACUUUAAAUCCUCCCAUAGUAAUAAAAGAUCAAAGUCACGAGGGUUUGAUGAUUUGAAAUGCUUUCCUCUUACUUAACUUUGCUUGAAUUAUAUAUCAGAUAUUCAUAGAUUUGACUUUACUCAAUUAUGUUCGAGAUUGGGCUCAAAAUCAAGAACCAAAGGUAACAUAUAGGUCUACUUCAACAUGAACUGUGUGUCGGUCUAUUAAAAGAGAAGAUAGUGUCUAACUUUAUUUAAAUCUUAAUAUUAACAACAUUUCCUUAUUUCUAUUGAAAGUAAGAAAGAACAUUUCAUUAUUCAAGCUAAAUCCAUCAAAGAAGAAAGUCAGAUCUUAUUUUGACGUUGUUGGUGAGUUUGUUUAAACAUUUCAGGUCCAAGUAUUAUUGGGCCUGGACUCUUCUUCUCCUUUUUAUUUAUUUCUUUUACAGAUAUUUUGCUAGAACUUAUUUAAAAACCAGGCAGGCCGAAUGGAAGUCGUGGGCCUAGCUAGGGGUCGUUCCAAUCAUAUAGUGAGAGAUAAAGGUCAGAAUAUUAUGAUGGGUUAGGCCCAUUCAGUUAGAGAUGAAUUGCCUAAUUUGCGAAGCAGAAGUCCAAAAAGCAGUUGGUCAAAUGCUUCGAGGAAGCAAGUCAUGAACAUUUUGGCAGCAUUAUCAAGCACCAUUCACCAAUACCACACCGUUGUAAAUGCUGCAUGUCAAAUGGUCUAUAGUCUCAACUAUUUAAAUUGCAACAUUUAGAGAAUCAUUCAUCAAAAUUUCAUCGGUUGACUUGAUUAUCCAUAAAUUAAAAGUUACCCCGCAAUAUAUAUCCAUUCGUGAUAACGUUAGAUAUAUGGAUACGGCAAAGUUCAUGUGGUUAGGCUUGAUCCAUCAACAGUUCACUGACUUUAAAGAUUUGUACAACAUAUGUAUCAAAUUCACAUGAAUUGAUACUCGAAGUCAAUCACAACUCAUAUCAUGCCAAUAAAUCCAUAAUUUUAGCAAAUUGAAAGGUGGCAACUUUCCUCCUUUGAUAAAUCCUCCUUUGUGUUGCCCACUUCACCGAGUACGAAACACGCGCAUGAUAAAUUGACAAAAACUUCACCAGAAACACGUCCGCUAUCAAAACUCACAAGAAAUUAAAAGAACGAGAGCUUCCUUUCUUUCUUUAUUGUCUCCCCCAGUCUUUGCAUAACAUCCUUACCGUUUCAUUCCUUAUAUAUUUUUCGAGCAUACAAAUGCCGUGAUUAAUCUAUGUGGGAAUAACGGAUCUCCGAAAAGUCAGAUUCGACAUUAAAUCGAACCCUAAAUCGAAUGCGGAAGAUGAAGCCCGGGAAAAUCACGUAUCACCGAUCCUAAAGCACACUACGGAUUCGAGCGUACCUUGUUAGCCACAGAUUAAACACCAAUGCUGAAGAUUGAGGAAGAGAAACCGAUCCUGUUCGAUCCGAUGACGUCAAUUGGCCUUAAAGGGAAGACAGCGUCGCCUCUUUUGCUUACUGUUCUUUUUUUUUUAGAGAGAGAGAGCGUUUGAAAGAGAGGGAGACGUACGUAAUGUCAAAAAGGUGCGUUCUCCCUCUCUCUCCUCCCUUUUAUACGACCCUCCAUCCACGGACCCUAUUUCUGUGGGCCGGGCUUUUAGGCCCAACAUGGGCGGACGGGCCAACUUAGGCCCAUGCUCAUCACAUAAAACCAUCAUCUCCCACUCGCACAUGGUGGGCCGAACAAAAUUCUCUUUUACCUCUCUUCAACAUUCAUACCGGUGAAUAAUCCGUGCGACCAGCAUACAUUGAGAGCUCGCUGUCAUAUAUCUGUUAGGAAUAUAUAGCAGCUCAUAAUGGGCAUCACAUCCUGAGUAGAUUUAGUAUACAGUACCCUAGAUCGAUUGAUCACAUUUAUAUCUCUCUUGAUCUCUUUUAAACAAUUAUAUAUAUAUAUAUAUAUAUAUAUAUUGUAUUCACAAUUAUGAUUAUCCCAAAGACAGUCAUAAUUGGUUAACCAGUGAAUACAAAAACUACAAUGUGAUUCUCCAAAUUCGAUCUUCCUCUUUCCUUCAAACUAUUAAUUUCAGUUCAGCUUGCUUUUCUAGAAAUGUCCCAUUAGAUCGAAUCAAACUCAUGACCAUUGGCAACAUCCUAAGAUAGCAAACACUAAAUAUAAAUCAUCUGACUUUCCAUGUACAUAAAAAUUGAGAUCAAACUUUUGCCACUCUUAUUGGUCGUCUCAUGCAUACGUAAUAUAAAAUACGUAUUACGGUAAUAACUCAUUUCCCAUGGAGUGUAUGUCUACACCUUUAAUACCGUACAGAUGAUAGUUCAGACAUACCAAAUGUCUAACUUGAAUUCACGUAUCUACUCAUUCACAAAAUUCAUCAGAACUCACAUCUGGCAUCAUAGACAAAUAAAGUAAAAUAUGUGGGGUAUUUUACUUUCGGACAUAGUAAGUAUUAUGUCCUCAUCUUAACACCCAGUUAAGGCGACAUACAUAUUUUAAGCUUGAGCUCUCGAUUAUCACCUAGAUAAUAAGCUUAAAAACAGUCUCAUCUCUAUUUAUCGCACAGUAAAUAGAGGCGAUUAUCCGUGUGAGUGGGCUAAUCUUAUAUCUGUCCGACAUACUUUCUCAACUUAAAAUAAUGCACUAAGCAUUAAGAUGCAUAAAGAUCAAACAAAGAUUCAUAUGCAUUAAUGAUGAAAAACACAAAUUCAUCAGAUGUGAACACUUCAAAGAAAUUACAAUUCAGUACAUCAGACUCUACGCAAUCCUAGAGAUUUUAUAUGGCCACAAAACACAUCUCUAGGUUUUGGCUUUGUCAUAGGAUCUGCUACCAUUCUAUGCGUAACAUGUACUGUAAGUUCACAUCUUUUUAUGCAAUCAUAUUCUUGACAAAAUUAUACUUGAUAUCUAUAUGUUUGGUCUUGCCGUGAUAUUUUGGAUCUUUGGUGUACGCUUUUGCUGCUUGGCUAUCACAGUUAACCAACAAUGAAUCUGCAGCACCUCAAAUAACACAUAAAUGAUCCAAUAAUCUCUUAAGCCAAACAUCUUCUUUUAUUGCUGCUGAUAAUACCACGAACUCAAUUUCCAUCGUGGACAAGGCUAUACACUUUUGUUUCUUACUGCUCCAACAUAUGGUGUCAUUAUUCGGUAAGAAAACAAAUCUAGAGAUAGAUUUUCUUUCAUCUAAAUCUCCUCACCAAUCAGCAUUAGAAUAGCCUUUGAGUUGCAGAUCCUUUCCAUAAUAACUCAGCGUAUAAUCAACAGUUCUCUUUAGAUACCUUAGUAUUCUCUUAACGGCCUUCCAAUGUGCUGGACCUGGAUUGGAUUGGUAUCUACCCACCAUUCCAACUGCAAAACAUAUGUCAAGUCUUGUACACAUUAUAGCAUACAUCAAGCUCCAACAGCACUUGCAUAAGGAACAUGUUUCAUUUGUUCAUUCUCUUGUGGAGUCCUUAGACAUAGUCUAUGGCUCAAUCCUUUACCUUUUGCAAUAGGAGUGCCUAUGGGCUUACAAUCCCAUAUUAUUCAUCUCAAAGUUGGAAGACAACCAACUUUUGACAGUAUUGAUAAGCUCCAUAUUGCUUCCGGCAAUUAGUAUAUCAUCAACAUAUAAUGAUAUAAUCACAAGUUGAUCUUUGGAUCUUUUGAUAUAUACACAAUGAUCCUCAUCAAUCAUUGUAAAAUCAUAUGCCAUUAUGGUAUUAUGAAAUCGUAUAUACCAUUGUCUUGACAACUGCUUAAGGCCAUAUAUCGAUAUCAAAAGUCGACAUACCUUUUCUUCUUGGCUUUUCACUAUGAAACCAGCAUAUUGUUCCAUAUAUGUUCCUUUCUCUAAUUCUCCAUUGAGGAAAGCAGUCUUUACAUCCAUUUGAUGUAACUCAAGAUCCAUACUAACCACUAUUGCCAGAAUUAUGCGAAUCAAGGUAAAUCUCACUACAGGAGAAAAUGUUUCUUCAUAAUCAAUUCAUUCAUGUUGAUUAUACCCCUUCGCCACAAGGCAAGCCUUAUGCCUUUCUAUCGAGCCAUCAACUUUACGCUUUAUUUUGAGAACCCACUUGUUCCCAAUAGCUUUGCGUCCUAUUGGAAGAUCAACCAGUUCCAAACUUGGUUUGACUUCAUUGACUCCAUCUCCUCUUCCAUUGCAUAAAUCCAUUUUUCCUUACUAGAGCAAUUCAGGGCCUCAUUAAUAUUUCUUGGCUCAUCCUCAUCUUGCGGAGCAAUCAUAAAAGUUUCCCAUUCAAUGUCAAAACGUCGACGGGGAAUACUUUGGCGACUUGUUCGCUGUAUGGGAGAUUGUACACUUUUCACAUCAUUCCCCAUUAUGCUCCCACUUGGAUUAGAUAAUGAUAACGUUGUCUCAUCAUGUGGUUACAAUUGAGAAUGAGUUGAAUUCAAUUCAUCACUUCUCAUAUUACUCCCACUUGGACGAACUCCACUAAUAUCAUUAUCUUGAUCCAAGGUUUCAAAUAGCGGGUAAUCUUUCCCUAUUUCGCCCUUCUUAGGAAAUUCAUCCUCUAAGAAUGUGACAUCCCGUGAUUAAAAUUCAGUUAUACUCUCACUUUCCUGCUCACCUAUGAACACAUACCAUUUCGAGUGUUCGGAGUAUCUCAUUAAAAUACUAUAUUUUCCUUUAGGACCCAAUUUCCCAAACUUGUGAGAGGACUCAUGAGUAUAGGCAGCACAACCUCAUGGCUUAAGAAAACUUAAGUCCAGUUUUGUACCUGUCCAUAACUCAUAUGGAGUGGAACUAACUAAUUUGGAAGGCACCCGAUUAAGUAUAUAAGCAGCAGUAAAUAACGUAUCACUCCAAAAAAAGAUAUGUAAGUUAGCAUGCGCCAUCAUGGACCUAACCAUUUCUAGUAGAGUUCUGUUUCUUCUCUCUGCAACACCAUUUUGUUGAGGAGUAUUUGGAAUAGACAACUGUCUUUCUAUUCCUUUUUCACCACAUAAUUUUCUGAACUCAUCAGAUAAAUAUUCUCGACAUCGAUCGGAUCUCAAUGCAUUUAUUUUCUUGUCUAAUUGAUUUUCUACCAAGUUCAUUAAACCUUUUGAAACAACUUAUUACUUCAAAUUUAUGAGAAAUCAAAUAGACAUAUCCGAAUCGAGUAUAAUCGUCUAUAAAAGUGAUGAAAUAAAUAGCCCCAUGCAUUCCUCUCACAUUCAUUGAACCACAGACGUCAUAAUGGAUUAAAUGCAGAGGAAAUUCAGCUCUUUUAUCUUUUCCAAAUGGCUUCCUUAUCAUUUUCCCUACUAGGCAAUGCUCAUAUAUGAGCAAAUCGACUUUUUCAAUGUUGCCCAACAAGCCCUUUUUUGGCUAGUCUUUUCAUACGAUGUUGGCCAAUAUGGCCAACUCUAGCAUGCCACAUAAUCACAUUUAUAUCAUAUGAAGUAGAAGACAUGAAAUAAGGGAAUAAAAAAUAUUGACAUCACUACAGUCAACAUUUAGUACAAUAAAACCAUCUAGAAAAAGACCACAACCAUAGUAGUUUGUAUCCAAAUAUAAAUCUACACCGCUAUUACGGAAGUUCAUACUAAAAACAAGCUUAACCAACACCAAAAACAGACACUUAAAUUUCGACGAAUCUCCGGAGCAUAUAGAACAUCAUGUAGGAAUAAGGUGCGUCAACCACACAUGUUCAAUUGGCAGGUGCCAAUCCCUUUAACUUCAUCUCUGGAGUUAUUUCCUACAUAGAUCCACUUAGUUCCAGUUGGUACUCGUCGGAAUUCCACAAAUGAUCCUCUAUCCUUCGCUACAUCGUCUGUUGCUCCUGAAUCUACAGUCCACAAAGGAUUGUAUUCAGCUAAUAAUGCAGAACUUGACACAAAAACAAAGUUCUCAAAUGUACAAGAGGUGUUUACCUUCUUUGGCUCACGACAGUCGCGAGCAUAGUGACCCUUCUUGUCACAAUUGUAACACCUCAACCUUGACAUUUUCUUCACUUGAGGACGUUUUCCUCUCUUGUGUUGGUUAACACUUGAUCUCUUGCAAUAAGGACUUGAUCCUUUGUAUUCCCACAUAUUGAACGAAUCAAUACGUUUGCGCUUAGAGCUCAAAGCCCUUUCUGAGCUAGAACUAGCAUAGCAAAUAUCUAUUUGCCGUUAAGCAGUCCUCUACCAGCUUAAGGUGGCGUACAACAUCCUCAAGAUCUUCCAUAACAUGGUCAAGAGCUUCUAAUGCUUCUUGCUUUUCCAGCACAUAUUGAAUCUUCAUAUUCAAUAUUUCACAAUUGUUGCCGUUCAUAUCAGCAAUUACGUUCUUAGUUGCUGAAACCAUCAAUCUGAACACAUCAGACAUAUAUGCACGAAUAAUUAAUGCCUAUCAUUUAUGUAUCCACUUUGCACAGACCCGUCAUAUCAAUGAAUAAUUUCAAGUAAAGUUUCAGAAUCAAAAGGUCACUAUGUUUCCAAUUAUCCUCCAAAAAUCCUAACUUAAAACUAUCAUUAAUAUAAUUGUCUUAUGCAAAAUAAAUUCUAUGAAGUUACAAAAACUUCUAUAACUACCCACAGCUAACUACCCACAGCAACCAGCAAUAACAGAAAGUAACAGAUAAUUGACAUCCAAUAAAAUAAUAAUGUUUUCAACUAAUACAACAAUUCAUUACACUAAGUAAUAUAUCCAAAAAGAAAUAUCAACAUAGAAAGAGAUAUUCACACUUAAAAAAAAACAUCUCAAACUAAUCUAAGAAAUAAAUAGGGAAUGUCCCAUUCUAAUUUAUCAGUCAAAAUAUCUAAGAAAUUUGUAGGCAUAUUUGCCAACCAUGGAAAAAACUUUUGGAAAGCUCUCAUGUCGCCUCCAAGGUGCAUUCACUUUGCGCCAUGUGGCGCUCAAUCUAAGGGUUGAAGCUUUGGCCAACUUAAUCCUAUAGUACUUUCUUACAAAAGCUUCCACUAGCCUCCUAUAACCCGAGACCACGUUGACCUCCAAUAGCCGAUCUAACACUGCUUGCCAUUCAGUGGAAGAGUGUUCAUUAAAGCCGGCACUUUCUCAAAAUCCGGUAUAAGAUAACCAUUCCAGAUGAUUUCCUGUAUCAUUUGAUUAACCAUGACCAUGUGUGAUACUAAAUCACCAUCAUGCCACCGAUAAUCAGCUAACUCUGUCAUCAGCCUUUUAAUUCUUGCUUUUCCUUCGUCCGUUUUCGGGAUUGCAGGUAUCCGUGCAUAACGCAUCAUAGUUCCUGCAACAAAUGCAGAACCAAAAAAUAGAUCACUUAUAAUCCACAAUAAACAAAAUGGAAAAUACAUAAUUUUACAUGAUUCAUGCAACAAAUGCAGAAUAAAAAAUGGAUUACCUCUAACUCACACAGACAUAAUUGAAAAAAGAAACUUUGUUUUUUUGUUUCUUUUUUUUUUUGUUUUGUUUUGUUUUUUUUUUGUUUUUUUUUGUUUUGUUUUUUUUUUUUCGGGUCAACGAUCAACGGUCAUCGGUCAACGAGUCAACAGUCACUAGUCAAGUCGUCGGAUUGGUCGGACCGGAUAGACCGGUCGGACCGGUCAGGCCUGUUGGGCCGGGUUGGACGAACCGACCGCAUGUGCCGCGCGUGUGUGCGGGCUGACGUCACGCAGACGUCAGCUGGCACGUGCCGCAUGCGUGCCAGGCGUCCGCGGGUCGGGUUGAGUCGGGUCUCCGGUCGAGUUGUUGAUCGGUGACCGCCCGGCUAACCGUCGUAGGCACUAAUGUCAUCGAUGACGUCAUCCCAGCAGUUACCGACCGUUGGGUGACGUCAUGCUGACGUCAGCACGCGUCGGUCCGCCGAUCGGCGCAUGCCGGUUCGGCAUCGGCGUCGCGCACGUGCCGGUUCGCCGACCGGCGCGUGGCGCCCAAGCGCAACGGCUUUUGGCCGCGCGUGUGGGCGCGUACGGCGUCACCCGGCGGCGCACGACAUGUCGCCGGACUCGUCUCGACGAGCCCUUUCACCCUAUGCUUUCAGAAAUCGAUUUCGACUUACAGAAACUCGAAUAAACGGACGAACAGUGCUCGGGUGUCGGGAUUUCUCGCCCCAAUCCGCGUCGGCCGUAUUUCUUUGCGAAAAAUCAAUCAAAAACAUGAAAAGGGUCAGGAAAACAUGAACUCGGGCUUUGAUACCAAUGUUGGGAAUAACGGAUUCCCGAAAAGUCAGAUUCGACAUUAAAUCGAAUCCCUAAAUCGAAUGCGGAAGACGAAGCACGGGAAAAUCACGUAUCACCGAUCCUAAAGCACACCACAGAUUCAAGAGUACCUUGUUAGCCACAGAUUAAAUGUGACAUUCCGAUUUUCUGAUUCUAUUUUCAAUAAAUUGAGAUGGGCAUUUCGUUGGCACGCAUAUAGUUCAUUUCCUUGAGUCGGUCACUCAUGUGGAAACUAGUCUAUCAGGUGAAGCUGUUAAGAAUUUCUAAUGCAUCAGACUCGAGAAUUUGAUCAGGAAACGACCUUUCGACCGAGCUAAUUUGCAAGGGUCAUUACGGCACAAUUAAAAAUCGAUUAGAGAUCGGAGAUAGGUCGACUCGACAGAGACAUGCGAUCGAGUGUGGGUGAUUCCACUAGAUUGCACAAUUCUUGUCGAUUGGCACUAGACCGACUUUCCUGUCGAUUGGGUACUCUGUGUUCGUAUUUGAAAUCUUGAGAUUUACCCAACAACCGAAAGUCGCCAAUGUUUCAAAGAUGUACAUUGUGGCUUGAGAUGAUCAACCACAGGUCAAAUGCAUGAAAAUUUCUAAAGGCUACCCGGUAGGUUGAGCCGCGCUAGUAUCGUGCCAAAGUGAAAUUAACCGUGAAAUUGGGAUCGAAUUCAGAAAUUGGAAGUCUGGGUGUGUCACAAAUCAUUUUAGGAACAUUAUCUAAUCUUCGGAAGAUUUUUCAUACAAGUCGAGUUUUUCGGCAAAAUAAUCAAGGUAUGGCUAAUUUGGCUCGAGAAAUUAGUAGGCCCGCUUUUGGUCGUACUUUUGGGACUUAAGUUGAUUGUAUGGACAAGUGAAGAUGUGAAUUAAAGUGUGGUGACUUUGGAUUAAUUUUAUGGACUUCAAUUGGAAGAUAAUUGAAUGGAAUUAAAGAAAUUAAUGUACAAAGUUUCAUGCCCCGGCGGAAAAAUAAAAUGGACCCAUUGAAGGAUGUUGUGGGAGAGGAGAUAGUGGAAGAUGACAUCAUGGGGUGAUGUCAUGCUGAUUGAAGCCAAGGAUUGAGGGCUUGACAAGUGGAGGGUGGAGAUUUAAUCUCCAAAAAGGGGCCAUCACCAUCAUCUUCAACCUUGGGAAGGAGAGAGAAAGGGAAAGAGGAAGGAUGCGUGACCGGACCAGCCAAGCCGACCGCCCAGACGCCGCCUCCUUCGCCGCUCGUCGUCCACCGUUCGUCAUCGUCGCCGAAGCCGUCACGGUCGUCGUUCGUCCGCACGCUGGCACCACCGCUCGCACCACCGUCACCCCCUCUCUCCUCCAUCUCCGCUGCAGCUCGAUGUACCAGCAAAUCCGAAGACGCCGAAGCAGCCCACGGUCCAGCCGGAUCGCCGUUGCGCGCCCCUCUCGCGUCGUCCGCUGCCUCGCACGCCGCUGCUGUCCCGCGAGCCGCCUCCCUCACCAUCGUCCUCGCUCGUCUUCGCCUCCAGGAGGCUGUUCGGCCAGUUUAGGCCAUGGCUCAGCCGCCUCCGGCCACCGUGCGCCCCCACCUUAGCCCGCCGGAGCUCCGCCUAGUCCUUGCCGCCCUUGCUCGCCCCAACCGACGCCGGAUCAGCCCUCCUCCGAGCUUGCUCAGUAGCUGCAAAAAUGGGUAUCACAGCGGGGUUUUGGCCCGUUUUGGCCGUAUUCCCGAGCCCGGAUGCUCGGCCCGCUUUGAUGAAAGUUGUUCUCCUCGGCGUCCCCGUCGUUUGGUCUGCUCGGCUCGCUAAUCUGGUGAGUUUAACUCACUAAACCUUGAUUAGACGGUUAAUUAUGCCCUAAGUUAAGCAAGUUUAGGUGGAUAUUUGAGUUUAUUUAAUUGUGAUUUGGGUUAAAAGGUUUGUUUAAUUCAAAGUGUGUUUAAUUAAAGGUUAAGAUAGUUUAUUUAAUGAUAAACCUUGAUGGGACAUAAUAGGAUUUUAAUUUUGAAUUAUUUAAUUACUUCGAAAUUCUGGAAAUUUAUAAUAUUAUAUUAUAUUCCGAAAUUAUUAAAAUAUUAUUAUAUUAAAAAAAAAACGGAAAAAUUAUUUUUGAUCCCGAUUGCUCAGAAUUUCGUUUCAAUCGCUGCUGUGUAGUUGGAUUUUGAAAUUGAUGAUUGGAUAUUAUAAAUUGAGUGUGGAUCGUGAAAAAUAUGAAUAUUAUUAUUUAAUUAUUUUCGGAAUAAAUUUAAUUAUUUAAUAAAUUCCGAAAAUUUUGUUAGGACCCUAAACUCUCAGAAUUUUGUGCCGAUCGCUGCUGUGCAUUUAGAAUUUGAAUUUGAUGAUUGGUUGUGGCAAAUUGAGUGUGAUUGCAAUAAAUAGGGAUUAUUUAUAAAAUCCUAAGUGUAGAAAUUGAUGGGAGAUUGGCUGUGAUUGACCACCUAUUAAAGGUCGUGCCCAGUGAGGCCGUGAUGUACCACCUAGGAAAGGUCGUGCCCAGUGAGGCCGUGAUGUACCACUUAGGAAAGGUCGUGCCCAGUGAGGCCGUGAUGUACCACCUAGGAAAGGUCGUGCUCAGUGAGGCCGUGAUGUACGACCUAGGAAAGGUCGUGCCCAGUGAGGCCGUGAUGUAUCACCUAGGAAAGGUUGUGCCCAGUGAGGCCGUGAUGAACCACCUAUGAGAGGUCGUGCCCAGUAAGACCGUGAUGAACCACUUAUGAGAGGUCGUGCCUAGUGAGGCCGUGAUUAACCACCUAUUAGAGGUCGUGCCCAGUGAGGCCGUGAUGGACCACCUAAUUAAAGGUCGUGCCGAGUGGGGCCGUAAUUGUCACUGUCUGUUAAACCUUCCUAUAGGGCCGGGAUUGAGAGUAAUGAUUGAUUUGCUAGAAUGACAUGUAAUCGGCCGAGUCGAUUGAUCGCUGAGACGAUCAAAGUGGUUGAAUUGUUUUGAUAAUGUGAUUGUGCCACGGUUGUUUGGUUAUCAUAAUUGUACGUGGUUGAAUUAUAUAAAUUGUGCUAACCUGCAGAUGAAGGCUGAGGCGAGGUAAGUCUUCUGUGUGAUGUGGCUAGGUCACCCGGGGCGUAUUUUCUUUUUAAUAGGGGUUUAGGGGGUUGAACUUGCUGAGACAUCGUCUCAUCCCGGUUGUGGGAUUAAAAUUUCAGGUCCCCGGUGGACGGAGUGGCCAGAUAGCUUUGGUUGGUCUUGAGGAGUUGCAGAUGUGAAGUCGUAAGAUUGGAGAAUGUGUUCGACUUGUAGGUCGUAGGUAGUUCAUUUUUAAGAGCCGGUCUUUUGUAGACUGUUGGUCGUAGACCCUUGUUUGUAAUUCUGUUGAUUUGUGAAAGUGUUAUGGGGUGAUUUUGCUUCAUGCUUUCCUAUCCCGUAUUUUAUUGUCAGGGGUUUUAUAAUACGUUCCGCUUGCGCAAUAAUAAAUGAAUGGGGCCGGCGACAGUACCUGGGAAUGUCGCAUUUGAUCGACCGUGGUGGGAUGUGCUCGCGCUCGGGGUUCGGGGCGUGACAUUAAACACCAAUGCUGAAGAUUGAGGAAGAGAAACCGAUCAUGUUCGAUCCGAUGAUGUCAAUUGGCUUUAAAAGGAAGACAACGUCGCCUCUUUUGCUUACUGUUCUUUUUUUUAGAGAGAGAGAGAGCGUUUGAAAGAGAGGGAGACGUACGUAAUGUCAAAAAGGUGCAUUCUCCCUCUCUCUCCUCCCUUUUAUACGACCCUCCAUCCACGGGCCCUAUUCCAGUGGAACGGGCUUUUAGGCCCAACAUGGGCGGACGGGCCAACUUAGGCCCAUGCCCAUCACAUAAAACCAUCAUCUAUGAACGAUCUGGAAUCCUCCAUUUGAGCAAUCAGAUGACCUGUUCAUGUAAACCCUUGCUGCACUUCAUUAGUCUUAUAGUUUGUAGCCUUAACAUCUACUCAAGCCUAUAUCGAGUUCGUUCUUGGAAUGUUAGAUAGACAUAAUCCCGGUAUGCAAUUCCCUUUCCAUCCCUGACCACUUCUGAGAACUGCGGCCAGCUUUGCCAACUCGGAGACCUUAAGAUAUUUCUCUGAUCCCGGUUUUCCUUCCAUGUUCUCUAUCAGGAUUUAUCUCCUCCAAAAAGAGAGGGGAGGUCAGCUCAUUUAGUUGAGAAGUGUUCCUGUUUCCAUUGCAUAGAUGGACCAUGUGCGUAAGUUAGGCUUAGGCUUCAUUUUCCUAAUCAUGGAACUGCUUUGGCAGCAUCCUCUUACGAAAUUUAUAGCUGCAAGGAGAAAAAAGACGCAGAAAAAAAUAUCUGCUAGCCAGUUGUAUGAACAUAAAUAGUGCUGUAUAAACUCUCUUGGUGAUAAAACUCUCUUCCUCACUGAGCUAAUUGACAAAAUGGAUUUGCGUUCACUAAUAUUCUAAGCUUCUAAAAAUGGGGGCCUCCAUCUGAGGCUUUGACUAGAUGCUGCUGCUUAUCCUGGCACUGAAGUGAUGACAUCGUGCCAUUGUCGUUUAGGCCUGCCUAAUUGUUUUGAUUUGGAGCUUCUUUCAUUCGUCUAUUGCAAUGAUAUGUUUUUAGAUAUGGGUGUUGUUUGGGAGUCAACUUCAAAUGAGAGAUUUGUUCUCCUGAUGUAUCAUCCUUCUAUCUCCUGUUUCAGGUUGGAGUUCACUAUGAUGGGAUUAUCUAUGAAUUUGCGCCUUGGAAUGGUGGUCAUUGGGAAGGUACUUUAUGGGGUCUGGUAUAUGGAGUCAGAAAAUGAGACGCAUAGUUUCCUGUUAUAACUUUAACAUAAUGGUAAUGGAGAGUCCCUCGCCACAACCGUGACUAAGCCACUUAAGAGGGCAGAAGGUGUGUGGAUUGCUGCUAUUGCUACCUCUAUAUCUUCUAGCUUUCAUCCAACGUGAAGUUGUAUACCUCAUGCAGAAAUUUGUUUGUGUUUGCCAGUAGCACAAUGCUGUUUAACAGUAUGUGCGUAUGUUGUAAAUAGGAUUUAGUCCUUCUCAGCAAGAACAAAGUAUGUGAUUUUGAUCAGUAAAGUGAAGUGAGCAGAAUUUGUUGAUUCUUUGCAGGUUGUAGUGGAGGCAACAAUCAAGGAUCCUGGUACAACAUUGCGUGCUCCAACUGCAGAGGCUGGCCUUGCUCCAGCUUGCAAUGAUUCUUGUUUUGGUGAUCUAAAACUGCACAUAUGGGAAUGGAGAUAUGAUGGAAUUGAGGGAAGGCGAGUUCCAUAUUUUGGACCGAUUAUCCUCUACUGCGUAGCAAUGGUGUUUAACUUUUUACUUUGUGCUAGAAGAUGAAUGUGGCAUCACUAACUGUUUCUGGAACCUCCUCUCAUAUGGAAGCCUCCAACACCAAUAGUUAUGGACAGUUAACUGUAGAUUUUGCAUCUCUGCAAAAUUUCUUGUUUAACCAAAAUAUAUUAUAGAAGUGGCACAAGAUAUUCCUCAGCAUUGCAGUACAAAAAGGAUCAAAGACAAAAAUCCUCUUGUAUUACUUAAGGACUUUAUCCAAGUAAUACGUCUUGCUAAGAGUUAGCAGGGCUAGGGCUGUCAUCCCUCCCAUUUGAUGGCCUUGUUUCGGGUUUUGGACAUUACCAACUUGCUAAGGCGAAGAGCGAUGAAAUCCUCCAGUAAAUGGCAUUUGUCUGAGUUCAAUGUCCAGCAGAAGGAAGUAUGCCCAAGAAUGGGCAUAUUGAUCAUUCCUACCUUUCCUUGCAUAAAGUCAUUGUCAACUUCAGGCAUUCCACCUCUCGAUCACAUAUCAUUCCUACCUUUCCUUGCAGUCAUUGUAUUAGAAAGGUAAGACCUCCACGCUGGAGCUUUUGAGUUGUGUUUUGAGGUUCCUGUUCAUAUUGAUGGGUUUUGCGGUUUGGCUCCUUUCCUCAAACCUUCGGUCUAUAGUUGAUGGCUCCUAUUUACUCCGAGGUUGUCCGGAAGAGCCGUUAGUAACUUUUUCACAUGUAUAGAGGUCUAAUUCAGGGCGGGUUGAGGAAGACAUUAUUUGUAAAAACAGUAGCUCUCUAGACCUUCCUCUCAUUGUGGUCUCCAGGUACUGUAUCACUGAAAUGACGCCCAUGGGAAACUUCUUUCCCGUGUCUUUUACCUGACACAUGGUCAUAACAUAGCUACAUCGCGACACAAGGACGAUUCCUGCAUGAUUUUUGUCACGAAGCACCUAUUGGAGAAAUCUUUCCAGAAUAUUUUGAAGCUGACAAAACAUUUCUAUCAGUCUAAGUCUGGAUAUCGAUAGUUAAAGUCUCAAGAAUUUAUAGUCUCAAGACUUUGUUAUCUCAAGACUCAAGACUCAAAAUUAUUCUCACUGACAGUCUUUCUAAUCCAGUGUUGAAGAAAAUCCAAAGUCGAGGUUUAUGGUUGAGGAUUUGAUUCUAUCCUCUGGAAUAGAUUCUUUGGUUGGAUAAUCAUUUCGGAUUCUUUAAUUCUUAUCUAAGAUCAAUUGAAGAUCCGAUGGUCGACGAAAUAAUCUUGGAUUAUUCUAUUCUUGGAAACCGAGAUCCUGAUUGUAUGGGCGAACAGGAUUGAUGGGCUAUCAUCAGAUUCCUUAAAUAGCUCGGAUGAUCUUCUUGAUUGAUUCCGUCCAACGGGUAGAUUGGAGGAAUUCCUUUGGUAAGUGCCAACGGCUAUGAUGGCAUGAAGGAGUAUAAAAUGAAGAUGUUCUAGUUGUUUUAAGUGUGUGAUCGAUAGAAAAAUUCCAGAGUCUGAAGAUCCUUGAUUGUUAGUCGAGACUGAGCGAAAUUGUACACAGAGAGUGUUUGUACUUGGUAACGCCUUGAGCGAAUGUGGUAGAUCAUCUAUACCUAGAAAUCAAGGAAGAUCAACACUGUAACAACUCUUUGAUCAUAGUGGAAUCCAGCCAAUCGGCUGUCAGUGCAGAAGAGUGGACGUAGACUUGAAUCAAGCCGAACCACUAUAAACUGAGUGUUCAAUUCUCUCUUUCCCUUACUCAGUCUUGCGAUUGAAUUUUUAACUGUUGCAAAUUCUUUAAUUGUUUAAAUAUCGUGCAAGCUUCGAGAAAUUUUUUUAUAUACCUAUUCACCCCCCCUCUAGGUACUCGUACUAGCUAUUUCAGCACCGAUGGUGAUUAAUCGAUCCUGUGGAAAAUCGAUCCUUCCGAACUGAUGGGGCCACGGACCAGAUCAAAUUUGAGUGGCGCCGUGGCUGGUUUAGGUGGGUCUGCUUAUUUCAACAAUAAUGGGGAUUGGCAUCUUUUGCACGGUGGAAACUGGUGGUUAGGAAUCUCUUCCCAGAGGGACCAAGCUCGCAGUUAAAGGCCUCUCAUGGUCCCAACUCAAGCUUUUAUUGCAGAAUACGCCAUCUGCUAUUCACAUGGUGGAGACAUUAUCGAUUAAUAAUGUUCGGGACAAAGCUUGAAGGGAGUGAAAGGACACCAGAGGCCUUUCCCCCUUUUAGUUGACCUCCACCUUAGUUGCUUUGAUUCCCAGUAUUUGUUAAAAGAAAAAUAAAGGGGAAACUGGUGGUUAGGAAUCUCUUUCCAUAGGGAGCAAGCUCGAAGUUAAGGGCCUCUCAUGGUCCCAACUCAAGCUUUUAUUGCAGAAUACGCCAUCUGCCAUUCACAUGGUGGAGACAUUAUCGAUUGAUAAUGUUCGGGACAAAGUUUGGAGGGAGUGAAAGGAUGCCAUUAGAGUCCUUUCCUUACAAAGCUUGAAGGGAGUGAAAGGACAUCAGAGGCCUUUCCUUCUUUUAGUAGACGUCCACUUUAGUUGCUUUGAUUCGCAGUAUUUGUUACCAGGUUAUUGGUCUAAAAGAAAAAUAAAGGGGAAAACACGGCGGGUAGGCUUCCUGUCCUGAUCCGUGGUCACCCUCGCCAUGCAGGAAUCUCUUCUUUCAUAGGGGGGAUUUGUGAUCGACAUCGGAGUUCCCUUGGGAUUAAUCCACAUUCUAAAGAAAAUCAAGACUGGCCUUCCUUCCUUCCUUUCCCAUUUCUCCGAUCCAUGCCUAACAGCCGUACCGUUUCUUUCCUAACGAUUAAUUUUUAAGCAUACAGGAUUCCUUCCAUACAAUGAUAAUGGCGGAGAUCGAUGAAUUAAUCUACAAAAUCAGUUUGUGGACGAUGUGGAUUCCUCCUUUUCAGCAAUCAGAUAUGAUCUGUUCAUCUAAACACUUGCUAUAUGUCAAAGUUAUUUUGCAUUUUGCAGACUAAUCUUAUAGUUUGUAGCGCUAACGACAUGGAGUGGUUCUUGAAAUGUUAAAAAGAUGUAAGUGGGGAACCCAAUUCACUUUAUGAGAACUGCGGCCAGCUUUGCGAAAAGUGGAGAAAUUAAAAGUUGAACCGCGACAAAAGUUGUGUGAUCAAAUCUUCCAUUCACUUCAGCCAUUACCAACAUAUGUUUUGAGGACUAUCCGGGUUUCCCUUCCAUAUUCUCCACCAAAAGUUGUGCUAGAUUGUGUUUUCUUUUCCUUGAAAGUACCCUAAACAAUGUCAUAGUUGAGCUUUAAUUUUUUCACGACACAGUUGUGUUUUCCUUCAUCUCGGAUUGGAGGGAGUGUUCUGAUUAAAAGGUUACAAAUAUAAACAUCACCCGCAUUUAUAUUUAGAUAUAUUUGAGUGUCCAUUUCAUAUAGCCCUUGAUCGGAUGUAUGGUUUGCGGUGAGCAAUGAAGGUAUAGGUCACAAUAUUCUAUGCCUCUCAAUUCCCCUUUUUUAACCAUGUGCAACAUAAGGUUCUGAUCUCCCGCUGGACGCCUUUCACGUGGUUCGCUGGUGAAUGAAGUCGUGAAACAUAUCCUACAAUCGCUCCUCUUCAAGGGUUCAUUUUUCUAAUAGCAAUAAUUUAGAACCUCCGAUUGAAGUUUCUUAUGCAACUGCAUAAUUUAAACACGUCGGCCUUUCUUCCAUAGAUAAAUCCUUCGCUCUAUCGCCACUUCACCAAGCAUGAAACUCGUGCAUGAUAAACCGACAUAAACUUCACCAGAAACGCGUCAAAACACUAGCAAAACCCACGGGAAAGAAAAAAAAAAGAAAAACAAGGAAAAGCCCGGCACUACCAGACGGCAAGCAAGCAUCACGAUGCGAAAACCAAAAGAAACACGUGCAUGAUGAUUUACCGGCUUAUUUUUUAGACGAUCUCGGACGGAUAUCGUUAAAAUACUGCCGAGAGCUUAUAACAAAAAGCACUUCUCCCGCAUAUUUCUUGCAACCUGUUCCACGUGGCCAUCGAUCGUUACGCAUGCUUUUGUCCGUCACCUCAUAAGUAAAAUCUCAAGUCUAUCCAUAUUGGUCCCCACGUGCUGAUCCGCAUGGAACGGUUCUCUUAUGUUCUAUAUCUAUAUAAAGCUGCUGGAUUGUCAAGCAUCCAAGACCCUCAAAGAUUGGAUCCAUUUUCUCCAAGAACUCAGCAAGUCCAUAGAGAGAAGCAAAUGGCGGUUGCUCACUGGCUGGUUCUUUUUGUUACGAUAAUCAUGGUGAGCAAUGCACGGGAUGCGAAUGGGGCGUUAUCAGCAACGACCCUGGAAGCGAUAGCAAAAGCUAACGUGAACGGCCCUUACAUUGGCAUCGUGAUCCCUAACCUUUUUGAGAUGGGUCCACUUCUUAAUUCGUCGAGUUACAGUGCUGCUGAAAUCAUAAAUUUCUCAGGUAACAAUUGCAUUUUGUCUUGACUUAUAGAGUUCCUUAUAAAACAUGGAAAAUGCUUUCUUGGUCGGACUUGGACAUGGACUCUUUGUUUACCAAUAUGAAUGUGUGGAUCAGUCAUGAGGUGAUCGGUUUUCGGUUCAGUCCGAUUCUAUCUAGGAAUCGGGAACUAGAUCGGGAGAAUUGGUUCCCAAUUUUGGGACUAGGAAUUAGAGCGGACGGUCCCAGGACCAAAAUCAGGUUCCAUGGAACCGAUCAUUUAGCAAAAAGGAAAGAUAAUAAUUUACUAAAUACUAGAAUUGUUAUUAUUUUUAGGGUUUAUUGUUAUUUUUAAGAAACUAAAAAAUAUAUUUAAAAAAAAAAGUCGGUCUAGUUCAGUUCAAUACCCCCUUGGAACCGAGAAUAAGAUCGACAAUCAUUGAUUCCUUUUUUAUGGAACUAGGAUUUAUAUUGAUCAUUUCGGGAACUAGAUCAAAUCUGCCGGUUUGGUUCAAUCUGGACAAGAGGCUUUAGCUCCACUAGAUUUGGAGCUUCAAGCUCACUAGAGGUCGGUGAGGCUCGAGCCUUGCAAGAGGUUGGUAAGCUUGAGCCUUGCUGGCCUUGGGUGAGCUUGCUCCUUGCUUGUGCUGGUUGGUGGCCGCAUUGUGGCUGGCAACUGACUUAAGCGCCAAUAUUUAGUUAUAUUUUAAAAAAUAUUUUUCAAUUUUUUAUGGAUUACGUGUAGGUUUUCCAUCAAUUCAUUUUCUUAAGUGAAUCAAAGUGAUUCACAAAUUUUGUGUAAGCAUUUUGCAUAAGAUUGGUUUUUUUUUUUUCAUAGAUAUCAUUAGUUAAUUAAUAACUCUUAAUGACGUGGUAAAAAAGUAGACGCUGCCCGCAAGUUUUUUAGGGCAUGCGUGGCCACAAAAUUUCACCGAAAACGAAGUAACAAGGAAGGAUUGAAUCAAAGAGAUGUAGAUUGACAAUGAAUUGUAAAAUGGUUAGUUUCCCUAAUAACGUUCAGGAAAUAAUCUUUCACUUUAUCCCUGACACUUCUCCAUCCCUUGACGGACUCCAAGGCAGAAGAUUUCGAUUCGGGACAGUCGAAGAGAGGAAAGUCAUACUGGUCAUGACAGGACUGAGUGUGGUAUGUGUCCUGCUACUGUUUUCUUCAAAAUCAUGUACUCGUCUUGUCAAAUUUUCAAAACAUAUUUCGACAACGGCUUAAUUUGGUUGCGACUAACGCGCUCGUGCGUGGUGAUAUUGAGGGAAAGUACGUAUGAACUGGUGCAGAUAAACGCAGCCAUCACCACGCAGCUUCUGCUGAGCUUCUUCGAUGUGGAGGGUGUGAUUCAUUACGGAAUUGCUGGGAAUGCGAACCCUGAUUUGCACAUCGGAGACGUCGCUAUUCCCCAGUAUUGGGCACAUACCGGUCUUUGGAAUUGGCAGGUUUUCCACUUGUCAACCCGAUUUUUAGAUUCAUCCACCCAAUUCUUCGAUGUGAAGGGAGAAACUUGACUUUUCUUUUUCUUUGCCUAGAAAUUAUGGGGGAAAUUCUACAGUGGUUCUCGUAGUACACGAGAAAGAAACUGUCAAUGCGAUUCGUUAUUCUUUGUUUUUUUCCUCCAAAUUAAUAUUUUUUAAAAUAUAACUCAAUUCAAAAUUGUUAAAUUUAUUUUAAAGAUGUCAACAUUUGCACUGGUUGUGUCACAUAAAUGGUCGGUGCUAAUUGGUCGGUACUUUAUUCGGUCAUCUACACUGAUAAAUAUCAAUACAAUGGUGUGCGAACAGAGAUACGGGCAGGGUCCAGAAGAUGAACUCGCAUUGGAAUCAAACGGAGACUACACGAGAACGCUUGGGUACUUGAGGUUUGCGAAUUACACUACAAACGUCACGGGUUGUGCUUCACACGACAAUCUCUUGAACAACAUAUGGUAUCAACCGGAGGAAGUGUUUCCUGUCACUGGAACUCCUGAGGAAAGACAGCAUGAGUUCUGGGUCCCCGUCGGUUCCACCUACUUCGAGGUGGCCAAGAAGCUUGAGGUACUACUGCUCGAUGCUUUCUAGGAUUUGCUGUUGUAUCUAUAUAUGUUGGGAUAACUUUACUAGAACUGAUUUAUAAAGUGAAUAUAUGGCGAAUCUCAGGAAAAAGUGCGCCGGGACCUCUAGGGCUUUUGGAAGAGUUUUACUCAACCAAAAGAAAGUCAGAUGAGAUCAAUACAUGGAAAUGCAUUAUUUACAUGAAGAGUAACUAAAUGGCUUUAGCAAAAAUAUCUUUCUUGCUUAUCACUUGAAUAACACCGCUUUAGAUAUUUCAAAGCAUUAUUUAAAAAGUAUCACGAUUGUGUAGAGUUUCAUGAGUCAAUACUUUAAUAGAGAGAAAUCUUGGCCACCUUUCUUGUCUAUCAAAAUUAAUCAUUUAUGAUGAAGGGUCUAAUUCACACAUAUUUUUGAUGUAUGUCACUCCUUAGGGCUUGAAAUUGGAAUCUUGCGUGAACGCGACCACGUGCUUGAACUACACGCCGAGUGUAAGCACCGUUGAAAGAGGCGUCAGUGCCAGCAUCUACCUUGACAACAGCGCCUACCGGAGCUUCAUCUACGACAAGUUCAAUGUAAGCCCUGUGGACAUGGAGAGCGCAUCGGUCGCCCUAAUCUGUUACCAGCAGAAUACGCCUUUCAUCGCCAUCAGGGCGCUCUCUGACUUGGCCGGCGGUGGGUCUGCCGAGUCGAACGAGGCCGACACUUUCGUUGACCUCGCCUCGAACAAUGCGGUGACGGUCAUGGUGGAGUUUAUAAAGCAGCUUUCCUCCAGAAACUCUCUCUAAUGGCAAGAUUGGCAGCCUAAUAUAAUAUUCUAUUGUCAAUAAUAAUGCAAUGAUCCAUUGCGUUUGUGUUUAUUUGUGUAGCAACAUGAACCCUGAUGGGCCUUGGACCUUGGCAUAGCUGAGGAAGAACCUUCAGCAGUGACCGACUGCCUAAAAAAUUUCCCAUAUCAUUUUCCUUACUUUAAAUCCUCCCAUAGUAAUAAAAGAUCAAAGUCAUGAGGGUUUGAUGAUUUGAAAUUCUUCCUCACACUUAACUUUGCUUGAAUUAUGCACUGGAUAUUCAUAGAUUUGACUUUACUCAAUUAUGUGUGAGAUUGGACUCAAAAUCAAGAACUAGAGGUAAUAUAUACGUCUACUUCAACAUGAACCGUGUGUUGGUCUAGUAAAAGAGAAGAUAGUGUCUAUCUUUAUUUAAAUCUUAAUAUUAACAACAUUUCCUUAUUUCUAUUGAAAGUAAGAAAGAACAUUUCAUUAUUCAAGCUAAAUCCAUGAAAAAAGAAAGUCAGAUCUUAUGUUAUUUUGACAUUGUUGGUGAGUUUGUUUAAACUUUUCAGGUCCAAGUAUUAUUGGGCCUGAACUCUUCUUCUCCUUUCUUAUUUAUUUCUCUUACAGAUUUUUUGCUAGAACUUAUUUAAAAACCAGGCAGGCCUAAUGGAAGUCGUGGGGCUAGCUAGGGGUUGUUCCAAUGGGUGGCUCUAAGUCUCUUUCUAAUUACCUGCAUUGCCUCAGUAGUAAGUUGCACCAACUCUGUGACAUCCCGAUUUUCCAAUUCUAUUUUCAAUAAAUUGAGAUGGGCAUUUCGUUGGCACGCAUAUAGUUCUUUUCCUUGAGUCGGCCACUCAUGUGAAAACUAGUCUAUCAAGUGAAGCCGUUAAGAAAUUCUAAUGCAUCAGACUCGAGAAUUUGACCAGGAAGCGAUCUUUCGACCGAGCUAAUCUGCAAGGGUCAUUACAGCACAGAUAAAAAUCGAUUAGAGAUCGGAGAUAGGUUGACUCAAUAGAGGCAUGUGAUCGAGUGUGGGUGAUUCCACAAGAUCGCACAAUUCUUGUCGAUCGACACUGGACCGACUUUUCUAUCGAUUGGGUACCCUGUGUUCGUAUUUGAAAUCUUGAGAUUACCCCGACAACCGAAAGUCGCCAAUGUUUCAAAGAUGUACAUUGUGGCUUGAGAUGAUCAACCACAGGUCAAAUGCACGAAAAUUUCUAAAAGCUACCCGAUAGGUUGGGCCGCGCUAGUAUCGUGCCAAAGUGAAAUUAACCGUGAAAUUGAGAUCGAAUUCAGAAAUUGGAAGUUUGGGUGUGUCACAAAUCAUUUUAGGAACAUUGAUUAAUCUUCGGAAGAUUUUUCAUGCAAGCCGAGUUUUUCAGCAAAAUAAUCAGAGAAUGACUAAUUUGGCUUGAGAAAUUAGUAGGCUCGUCUUUGGUCGCGCUUUUGGGACUUAAGUUGGUUCUAUGAUCAAGUGAAGAUGUGAAUUGAAGUGUGGUGACAUUGGAUUUAUUUUAUGGACUUCAAUUUGAUUCAAUUGGAAGAGAAUUGAUGAGAUUUGAAGAAAUUGGAUGUACGAGAUUUUAUGCCCCGACGAAAAAAUAAAUUGCAACCAUUGGAAGAGGUUGUGGAGGAUUGGGUGAAUGGAGUGUGAUGUCAUCCAUGAGGUCAUGAGGUGGGCCAUUUUUGGUUGGAUUAAAGAAAAAAAAGAAAAAAGAAAAGGGAAUGGUCCCAUCUCUCUCUCUCCUCCUUCUCUCUCCUCCCUCUCUUCUUCCUCUCUUCCGUGCGACUCCUCCAUCUUCUUCAUCUUCCUUCUUCGGCUACUCGGUUCCGUGGAGACCGAAGACCAAGGGAAGCAGCAGCCGUCGUCCACGCCUCUCGCCACCAUCGCCGCCCACGUGCCGCCGCUCGAGCACCUCGUCGUUCGUGCAUCGACUGCGUGCCUCCGCCCCUUUCUCCUUCUCUGUUUCGUUUGAAGACAGCAAACACAGAAGCAGCAACCUCAUCCCACUGCAACCGGAGCCAAGGCCGUCGUCGCCAUGCGCCGUCGCAGCUUCGCGAUUGCCCAGCCGCGCCGUCCACCUCCGUCCAGUCGAGCUGCCGUCCACGAACCGCCUGGCCAGCUGCUAUUCGGUGGUCUUGAGGGAUGGUAGAGACCCACCGGAGCUCCCUCCGACCACCUCCGGCCACCGUGAAGCCCCGCCUAGGUCUGGUUCAACUCCUCCGCUCACUCCCGACCCCAACCAGCCCCGGAUCUGCCCUCCUUCGCCCCCAACCAACAGCAAUCAGAGAAGAAGAAAAUGGGUAUGGCAGCCCCUUCGUGGGCUGUUUUGGCUGCCUUCCCGAGCCUGGAUGCUCGGCCCGCCUUGAGGAAAGUCGAUCCUCGCGUCGUCCCCGUCGUUUUAGUCCGCUUGGUUCGCUAAUCCGGUGAGUUUAACUCACUAAACCUUGAUUAGACGGUUAAUGAUGCCCUAAGUGUGCUUAGUCUAAGUUAAGUAAGUUUAUGUGGUUAUAUUAGUUUAUUUGGUUGAUGAUUAGAUUAGGGUGUUUAAUUAAGUUAAAGUGUGUUUAGUUUAAGGUUAAGUAUGUUUAUUUUUAAUAUAAAGCCUUGAUGUGACAUAAUAGGGUUUUAUUUUUGAAUUAUUUAAUGAUUUCAAAUUCUGGAAUUUAUAAUAUUAUAUUAUAUUCCGAAAUUAUUAAAAUAUUAUUAAUUAAAAAAAAACGGAAAAAUUAUUUUUGACCCCUGUUGCUCAGAAUUUCGUGCCGAUCGCUGUUGUGUAGUCGGAUUUUGAAAUUGAUGAUUGGAUAUUAUAAAUUGAGUGUGGAUCGUGAAAGACAUGGAUAUUAUUAUUUAAUUAAUUUUCGGAAUAAAUUUAAUUAUUUGAUAAAUUCUGAAAAUUAGUUUGGAACCUUAUUCUCUCAUAAUUUCGUGCUGAUCGCUGCUGUGUAUUUAUAAUUUGAAUUUGAUGAUUGAUUGUGGCAAUUGGAGUGUGAUUGUGAUAAAUAGGGAUUUUUUUUAUAAAAUCCUAAGUGUAGAAAUUGAUGGGAGAUUGGCCGUGAUGUACCACCUAGGAAAGGUCGUGCCCAGUGAGGCCGUGAUGUACCAUCUAGGAAAGGUCGUGCCCAGUGAGGCCGUGAUUAACCACCUAUUAGAGGUCGUGCCCAAUGAGGCCGUGAUUAACCACUUAUUAGAGGUCGUGUCCAGUGAGGCCGUGAUGAACCACCUAUGAGAGGUCGUGCCUAGUGAGGCCGUGAUUAACCACCUAUUAAAGGUCGUGCCCAGUGAGGCCGUGAUGGACCACCUAAUUAAAGGUCAUGCCGAGUGGGGCCGUGAUUGCCACUGAUUGUUAAACCUUCCUAUAGGGCCGGGAUUGAGAGCAAUGAUUGAUUUGCUAGAAUGACAUGUAAUCGGCCGAGUCGAUUGAUCGCUAAGACGUUCCAAGUAGUUGAAUUGUUUUGAUAAUGUGAUUAUGCCACGGUUGUUUGGUUAUCAUAAUUGUACGUGGUUGAAUUAUAUAAAUUGUGCUAACCUGCAGAUGAAGGCUGAGGCGAGGUAAGUCUUCUGUGUGAUGUGGCUAGGCCACCCGGGGCGUAUUUUCUUUCUAAUAGGGGUUUAGGGGGUUGAACUUGCUGAGACAUCGUCUCAUCCCGGUUGUGGGAUUAAAAUUUCAGGUCCCUGGUGGACGGAGCGACCGGAUAGCUUUGGUUGGCCUUGAGGAGUUGCAAAGAUGAAGUUAUAAGGAUUGGAGAGCGUGUACGACUUGUAGAUCGUAGGACAGUUCAUUUUUAAGAGCCGGUCUUUUGAAGACUUUUGGCUGUAGACCUCUGUUUGUAAUUCUGUUGAAUUAUGAAAGUGUUAUGUUGUGGUUUUGCUUCCUGCUUUUCUAUCCCGUAUUUUAUUGUCAGGGGUUUUAUAAUACGUUCCGCUUGCGCAUUAAUAAAUCAAUGGGGUCGGCGACACUACCUGGGAAUGUUGCAUUGGAAUGACCAUGGUGGGAUGUUGACGCGCUCGAGGUUCGGAGCGUGACAAACUCGAGAUCAGUAAGCUUCUUUUCCCUGAUCUCAUUCCAACAAGUUGGAGUUAUGCAAAUCCGACCAUAUAAGGCUUCAAAUGGAGCCAUUCUAAUACUUUGUUGAUAACUAUUAUUAUAAGCAAAUUCGACGAGAUGCAAAUGCUCGUCCCAGCUUCCUUUAAAAUCAAUUGUACAAGCUCUCAGCAUAUCCUCCAAUGUUUUGAUGGUUCUUUCUAUCUGGCCAUCAAUUUAAGGGUGAAAGGCCGUACUAUAUUGCAGUUUUGUUCCCAAUGAAGUUUGAAGAUUUUGCCAAAAUAUUGCUGUGAAUUUAGGAUCUUGAUCAGACGUAAUUGUCACCGGUACUUUAUGUAGACAUACUAUUUGUCAUACAUACAAGUGCACAUAAUCUUCCGAUGAGAAAUCCUUCUUUACCGCUAGAAAAUGAGCCAACCUUGUCAAUCGGUCAACUAUUACCCAAAUCGAGUCAUUCCAUUUUGACUCCUUGGUAAUCCUAGAACAAAGUCCAUGGUAAUGUGUUUCCAUUUCCACUCAGGAAUUUCAAGUGGUUGCAAUAAUCCACUAGAAUUGCAAUGUUGAACUUUUACUUGCUGACAUGAUAAGCACUUGGCAUGUCACGCCCUAAUCCUCAAGCACGCGCACAUCUCUUACCUUAGUCCAUUUUAAAAUGCGAUAUCACAAGACUACGUAUCGCUGACCCUUUCCUUUUUAAUAGCACAUGCGGAAGCUUAUAAAAAUCCCCAGACAAUAAAACAAUGGGAUAUACAAGUAGGACUAGAAACUUGAACUUGAAAACCAACACUCUUAUAUACACAUAUAACAACUCAGUCAUACAUAUACAUAUACAAGCCAAGCUAAAAAGGUUGGUUUCUACUCAAAUAGAUUCUACAGCAAAAGUCAUCAAAUAGGAGUGGAGGCUCAAUUCUUGUCACCCCCCGAACCUCGAGCGUGCCAACAUCCCACCAUGGUCAUGCAAAUGCGACAUUCUCAGGUAGUGUCACCGAGCCCAUUCAUUCAUUAUUGCGCAAGCGGAAUGUAUUAUAAAAUCCCUGACAAUGAAAUACGGGAUAAAAAAGCAGGAAGCAACACCACAACAUAACACUUUCAUAAUUCAACAAAAUUACAAACAGAGGUCUAUGGCCAAAAGUCUACAAAAGACCGGCUCUUAAAAAGGAUCUGUCCUACGACCUACAAGUCUGACACGUUCUCCAAUCCUUAUGACUUCACCUCCGCAACUCCUCAAGGCCAACCAAAGUUAUCCGCCCGCUCCAUCCACCAAGGACCUGAAAUUUUAAUCCCACAACCGGGAUGAGACGUUGUCUCAGCAGGUUCAACCCCCUAAACCCCUAUUAGAAAGAAAAUACGCCCCGGGUGACCUAGCCACAUCACACAAAAGACUUACCUCGCAUUAGUCUUCAUCUGCAAGUUAGCACAAUUUAUAUAAUUCAACCAUGUGCAAUUAUGAUAACCAAACAACUACGGCACAAUCACAUAAUCAGAACAAUUCAACCACUUGGAUCGUCUCAGCGAUCAAUCAACUUGGCUGAUUACAUAUCAUUCUAGUAAAUCAAUCAUUGCUCUCAAUCACGACCCUAUAGGAAGGUUUAACAACCAGUGGCAAUCACGGCCCCACUCGGCAAAAUUAGAAUUAGUGGCAUCACAGCCCCAUUUUACAACCUUUAAAAGGUGGUAGAUCCCGGCCCGAUGGGCACGGCCUCUAAUAGGUGGUAAUUCACGGCCCAACUGGGCGCGACCUUUAUCAAGUGGCAAUUCACAGCCCCACUGGGCGCGACCUUUAUCAUGUGGCAAAUCACGGCCCCACUAGGCACGACCUCUAAUAGGUGGUCAAUCAUGGCCCCACUGGGCACAACCUUUAAUAGGUGGUCAAUCACGGCCCCAUUGGACACAACCUGUAAUAGGUGGUCAAAUACGGUCGUUCUUCCAUCAAGUUUUGACACUUGGGAUUUUAUAAAAAGAAUCCCUAUUUAUCGCAAUCACACUCAAUUUGCCACAACCAAUCAUCAAUUUCAAAUUCUAAAUGCAUAGUAGCGAUCAGCACAAAAUUCUAAGAUAAUAAGGUCUCGACGAAAUUUUCGAAGUUUAAUAAAUAAUUAAAUUUAUUCCGAAAAUUAAUUAAAUAAUAAUAUCCAUAUUUUUCGCAAUCCACAAUCAAUUUAUAAUAUCCAAUCAUCAAUGUCAAAAUCCGAAUACACAACAACGAUUGACACGAAAUUCUGAGCAACCGGGGUCAAAAAUAAUUUUUUUUAAAUAAUAAUAUUUUAAUAAUUUCGGAAUAUAAUAUAAUAUUAUAAAUUCUAGAAUUUCGAAACAAUUAAAUAAUUCAAAAAUAAAACCUUAUUAUGUCACAUCAAGGUUUAUUAUUAAAUAAACUAUCUUAGCCUUUAAUUAAACAUGCUUUAAAUUAAACACACAUCUUAAUCUAAAUCACAAUUAAAUAAACUAAACUAACCACCUAAGUUCACUUAACUUAGACUAAGCACACUUAGAGCAUCAUUAACCGUCUAAUCAAGAUUUAGUGAGCUAAACUCACUGGACUAGCGAGCCGAGCGGACCAAAACGAUGGGGACGCUGAGGGGAACGACUUUCUUCAAAGCGGGCCAAGCAUCCACGGUCAGGAAGCCGGCCAAAAUGGGCCAAGAAGGGGCUGAGAAACCCAUUUUUGCAGUUGCUGGUUGCGGCUGGAAGAAGGCUGCUUGGCGGCGGUUCGGACACGGGGGACGAUGGAGAAGUGGCGGCUGUAGCUUGGCGGUGGCCCACGGCGGCGGUUGGCGGCUCGGCUGACGGAGGGCAACUCAAGACAACGGUGGUGACGGCUGGCGCGGCGAAGAGAAGUGGAGCAUAGCGGAGGGGCAGGAUGGCGAGGCGAGGCGCGCGCGGUCGCACGGGACGACGCGACGGCGACGGCGACUCAGCUCGGCGACGGAGGAGCGGCGAACAGUGGCGUGUGUGGGCUGGCUGGUCGACGGGUGAGCUCCCCUUAGCCGGCUCUCUCUCUCCUCUUCCCUCUCUCUCCUUCCCAUGGUUGAAAAUGAUGGCGAUAGCUCCCUUUUUGGAGAUUAAAUCUCCACCCUCCACUUGUCAAGCCCUCAAUCUUUGGCUUCAAUCAGCAUGACAUCACCCCCAUGAUGUCAUCUUCCACUAUCUCCUCUCCCACAACAUUCUUCAAUGGGUGCAAUAUCAUUUCCGUCGGGGUCCAAAUCCUUGUACAUCCAAUUUCUUCAAUUUUUCUUUCAAUUCUCUUCUAAUUGAAUCCGAUUAAUAUCCACAAAAUUAUCCUAUGAUCCUAAUAAGAUGUGUGAUAUAACCGGGCUUCCAACUUCUAAAUCCAAUCCCAAUUUUUACGGUCGAAUUCAAUCUGGUGCGAUUUCAGCGCGUCUAAUCCACUGAGUAGCUUUUGGGGAAAUUUUCUUACAUCCGACCUGAGGGUUAUCAGUUCCCAAGUCUGACGCAUCAAAAUCCUUUAAUUGCUUCACUCAAUAGACCAGUUCUCUCGUGAGUGGCCGACUCAGAGAGACGAACUACAUGCACAGAUGAAUUGCCCGACUCAAUUAACUGAAAACAAAAUUGAGAAAAAUCGGGAUGUCACAAUUCUUAUCAGGAUCCUACUUUGGAUCAUCCUCGGGGUUCUUCUCUAGAUACUCCUCUUCGGCUCUUUCUCCUCAGGUUCCUCAUCAGGGUCCUGAAAUGUUGUCCCACAUCCGGGAUGAGACUACGUCUCAGCAAGUUCUACCCCCUAAGACCCAAUUAGUAAACUAAUACACCUUAGGGUUGUUUAUGCACUGUUAGGGAAAUCCCUUAUGAUGUUUUGAAGAUGACAAAAUAAAUCAAAGGCUACUAACAUGUUUAAUGGUUAAGUAAUAGACCAUGCAGAUGAUAGAACAUGUAAAUGAUAUUAUCAAAGUCUGAAGACCACCAGACUUUAGUGUCAAAGUCUGUUCUACAUCAGAAGUCUGUCAACUCUGACUAAUUACAGACUGAACGUGAAUAAUGAACCAGAAGACAGACUCUAUGCUGAAGCUGAACUAGGUACAUACCUUAAAGCUAAAAUCUGUUCAGAAGCAGAAUAUGUUCAGACUCAGAUUGCAAAGUCUAUCGCACUCAGACUCAGAUUGUAAAGUCUAUUGCUAUCAAACUUUAUAUCCAGAUUUGACAGAAUGUAAUUCAAGCCCAAUCAUAUAACGGCUAGUGAUCUGGUUUGGAUUCCACAUCAAGAUUGAUUUGAUUGAUUCAAUCUAAUUGAUUGACGAUUGGAUCUUGAAGACAAGAACUUUUUAUACGAAGAAGCUUACUUAUGGAAACCAAGAUUCCGUUUGUAUGGGCGAUCGGAAUCAAUUUGGGAUUUUACCUUUGUCACUCAACGGCUACCAAAUCUUCUAGAUAUAGAACUGUCCAAUGGGUAUAUUGGAAGACGAUUCUCCGGGAUUCUGUCCAACGGCUAGUUUAGAAGUGGAGGAGUAUUUAAGGAGAUGAAGGACCGAUGAGCAAGUAAGAGAUAGAGCGUAGAAUUUAUAAUUCCAAAGUCUGAGCGACCUUCGAUCAUACACUUGUCUUUGGAGAGCUUAAACGUUUGUAAUCGUGCGAGAAAUACCAAAAGAGUGACUUAGUGAGAUAGUGUGAUCUACUAAGUGUUUGCACUCGAAGUUGUAAUCUCUUGUUGAUUGCAUAGUGGAAUCCAACCAAGAAGGCUGUUAGCGUGGGAGAGUGGACAUAGGCUUGGAUUAAGCCGAACCACUAUAGUUUAUGUGUUCUUAUUCUCUUCCCUAACUCCUUUGUUUGAAUUUUAUUUUAUUCCGCAUAUACUUGUCAAGAUUUAUUUUAUACACCUAUUCACCCCCUCUAGGUGUUCAUACUAGCACUCUCAAUUGGUAUCAGAGCCAAGUGCUCGGUUUAUAAAAGUGUUUUUACUUUUGAGCUAAAGAUUCUUUAUGGCUAGUAUGUUGGCACCAGGACUUAUGGAAGGGCAAAGCAACACAAGGCCACCAUAUUUUGAUGGAAAGGAAUACGACGUGUGGAAGAACAAAAUGAAAGCAUUCCUAAGAUCCAGAGAUCCCUUGCAAUGGGAUGUUGUGGAAAGAGGAAUCAAUCCCAUUGCUGCGUCUACAUCAAAUAAGAAUGGCAAAGACAAAGAAACCAAACCCCCCGCUCCUAUGUCUUGGAUGGAGAUGUCCAAAAGAGAAGCGCUUGAUGCAAAAGCUAUUUAUUCUUUAUAUUGCGCAUUGUCUCCUGUUGAAUAUAAUAGAAUCUCUUCAUGUGAAUUAGCAAAAGAAGUUUGGGAUAGACUUCAUGUUACAUAUGAAGGGACUGAUCGUGUAAAAAAGACAAAAGUAAACUUCCUGCUCGGCAAAUAUGAAUCUUUCAAGAUGAAGCAAGGAGAGUCGAUUGGAGAUAUGUUUAGCCGUUUUACGGAAAUUGUAAAUGGUUUAGCAUAUCAAGGUCAGCAAAUUUCUACCCCAAUGAAGGUCAACAAACUCUUGCGAGGUCUCUCAAAAGAAUGGAAUCAUGUUAAGAUCUCAAUCCGGGAGACUCAGAGGAUUCUGCCACUUUCCGUUGAUGAAUUGAUUGGCACUCUUCAAUCCUAUGAAGUGGAGCAACUCAACGAUGAAGAUCCCAAAGGUAAGAAGUCCAUUGCUUUAAUAUCUAAUGCUGUUUUUGAUGAAACAGACUUAGAAAAUGACAUGGACGACAAAGAACUUGCUUUUAUGAUUGAGAAAUUCAAAAAGUUGAGUAGAAAAGGAAGCAAAUUCAGUGGAAGAAGAAAAUACAAGCAGAAUGGCCAGAAAAGAACAAUAAAAGAAGAUGAUGAGCAAGGAAAUUUAUGCUUAAUGGCACAUUCAGAAUCUAAGUCUGAUUCAGGCACAGACUUAGAAUCAAAGUCUGACUCGGACACAGACUCAGAAUCCGAUGAGGAAAUCGAGAUGAGUUAUUUUUGCAGGAUAUAAAGAAGAAAGAAGAAAGAGAGUUUGGUAAGAAAUGUAUAUAUUUUUAUUUCUCAUUAUGCUUGAUAUUUGAUAUAUCUUUGGUUGAUUGAGAUUUUAUAAUGAUCAUAUUUUGCUUUAUUGAAGAAAGAAUCGCAUGAUUUGUUUUUGUGACAAGCUUUAAUUUGAUACAUGCGAUCAUUUUUGAUAUCAUGCUUAAAGACAAAUGAAUUUAUUUGGUUUAAUUUUAUACUCUCAAAUUUAAUCAUAUUUUGCAAAGUGAAAAUCUGUUUUACGUGAUGAUGCAAGAUAUUCUUAGAUAUUCAAAGAUUUCAUUCUCUAUGUUUUUAUCGUACCAUGACUAAGUGAGAAUUUAUUUUUCAAAAUAUCAUUAUGCAUAAUAUUCUUUCUUUGAGUACUCUGUUAUGAUGAAUUAAGAAAGAAUAUUUGGAGAUUAUAUAUUUUGCUCUAACGUCAUGGAAGGAUCCAAAUUGAUGGAUACCAAAAAUAAAAUGAGUUGAUUGCAGGAAAUUCUAUAAAGGAAGAACGAUCGUGAAUCUACGCAAAUUUUGGUACAAUCUGAAAAUAUCUCCUACGAAGAUUGGUAAUGUUUUUUUUUAAAUCAAUGGUAUAUUUGAAACAUAUACCAUGGGUAAGAGAAUAUUUUUCAUCCUACUUUGCAAAUCUCUACGUGCAUUUAUUCUGAUUUUGGAUGAUUAUUUAUUAUAUUGCAAAUAUCUUUUGUCAUAAAUAUAAGAUAUUGCAAUUUUAGCACGUGACAGAAAUAUCUAUUUUCCUUUUGCAAAAUGCAUGUCUGAAAUUUAUGCUCAAGGAAAUCUCUUUGAUCUUGAAAGAUAUUAAGGCAUAUUCAUGGAUAUUCUUGCUAUAUUCUUAGAAGAUAUAUUAUAUCUAGCAAGUUUGAUCCGCAAAUCGAAAGAAAAUAUUAUGUGACAUUUUUGCAAAGAUGAUUAUCUAUUAUACAAGAAUUUGCAGGUAUCAAUAGAAUCUUCCAUAUGAAUUUUGGAAAGCUCGACCUGAAAAUUAUGAAUAUUCCAUACUAUCUUUUGGAAGAUCGAAAAUUCCCUUUCUUGUGCAAAAUUUUUGCUUAUUGAGGAAAUCCCUUAUGCAUCGUACAAAAGGUUGAGUAGUUCUGAAUUUUAAUAAUUGAUAAUUUUAUACUAUUCAAUUUUUUAUUUGAAGAAAGGGUAUUAUAUAUUACGUGGAUAUUAUUUGUGGAAAAAGUUUGUUAAGUUUAUGCAGGUUGAAUUCGAGAUGAGCUUAGUUAAAGAAAAUAAAUUUUUGCCUCGAAAUUCAAAAUGCAAGUGAUCAUUGCAGAUGUUGUUGCUACAAAAGAAAUAUUGAAAAAAAAAUUGUUCAACAAGCAACAAUUAUUUCUAUUCGCAAAUAUUGUUGUGAUCAUAGGGGGAGAAAGCAAAUCCAAGAAAAAUGAAAGAAUCAUGAUCAUCUCAAAAAGGCAACAAAUUGAGGGGGAGCUUUGAUCAAUUAUGGAAAAAUCUUUUUGAAUUGAUCGUGAUCUUAUUAUGGAUGGAAUGAAAGGUAAAUGUGUCAGAAUUUGUUCUAAAAAAUCCGGUUAGUGCAUUUUUUAUUACCUUUUGUCUAAAAAAUGUGUCAUAUUAUGGAUGGAAUGAAAGGUAAAUCUUGUAUUGAUAUUAUCAUUUUAUUAUGACAAAAAAGGUACGUGAAUUUCAUGAUGCAUCCGUGAUUUUUAUUGGAUAUUUGCUGAUAUAUAUAUGAUCGAAGUGAGCUAUAUUGUAUAUCUUUAAUAUUCGACUUGCUUUAUAAAAGCUGAUCUUUAGAAAUUAUGCAAGACAUAUUUGUUAUCAUUCUCUACGUGAAUCCAUUAUUAUCACUUUUUGAUUAUGACAAAAAGGGGGAGAAGAUAUGAAUAUGCAUAUGUGUUGAUUGAUUGAUAUUAUAUAUGGCAUAAUAUUGAGCUGUGAUUAUUUUUCUAUAUAUUGUUAUGCCAAAUCUAUUUGCUAUCUUCUGAUAUCCUUUGAUUUAAAUUAAUAUCUUUAAAAGUAUGUUUACAAAUCUGCUUAUUCAGAGAUUGUUUUGUCAUCAUCAAAAAGGGGGAGAUUGUUAGGGAAAUCCCUUAUGAUGUUUUGAAGAUGACAAAAUAAAUCAAAUGCUACUAACAUGUUUAAUGGUUAAGUAAUAGACCAUGCAAAUGAUAGAACAUGUAAAUGAUAUUGUCAAAGUCUGAAGACCGCCAGACUUUAGUGUCAAAGUCUGUUCUAUAUCAGAAGUUUGUCAACUCUGACUAAUUACAGACUGAACAUGAAUGAUGAACCAAAAGACAGACUCUAUGCUGAAGCUGAACUAGAAGACGGACUCUAUGCUGAAGCUGAACUGGGUACACACCUUAAAGCUAAAAUCUGUUCAGAAGCAAAAUAUGUUCAAACUCAGAUUACAAAGUCUAUCGCACUCAGACUCAGAUUAUAAAGUCUAUUGCUAUCAAACUUUAUAUCCAGAUUCGACAUAACAUAAUUCAAGCCCAAUCAUAUAACGGCUAGUGAUCUGGUUUGGAUUCCACAUCAAUAUUGAUUUGAUUGAUUCAAUCUAAUUGAUUGACGAUUGGAUCUUGAAGACAAGAACUUUUUAUACGAAGAAGCUUUACUUAUGGAAACCAAGAUUCCGUUUGUAUGGGCGAUCGGAAUCAAUUUGGGAUUUUACCUUUGUCACUCAACGGCUACAAAAUCUUCUAAAUACAAAGCUGUCCAAUGGGUAUAUUGGAAGACGAUUCUCCGGGAUGCUGUCCAACAGCUAGUUUGGAAGUGGAUGAGUAUUUAAGAAGAUGAAGGACCGAUGAGCAAGUAAGAGAUAGAGCGUAGAAUUUAUAAUUCUAAAGUCUGAGCGACCUUCGCUCAUACACUUGUCUUUGGAGAGCUUAAAUGUUUGUAAUCGUGAGAGAAAUACCAAAAGAGUGACUUAGUGAGAUAGUGUGAUCUACUAAGUGUUUGCACUUAAAGUUGUAAUCUCUUGUUGAUUGCAUAGUGGAAUUCAGCCAAGAAGGUUGUUAGCAUGGGAGAGUGGACGUAGGCUUGGAUUAAGCCGAACCACUAUAAUUUCCGUGUUCUCAUUCUCUUCCCUAACUCCUUUGUUUGAAGUUUAUUUUAUUCUGCAUAUACUUGCCAAGAUUUAUUUUAUACACCUAUUCACCCCCCUCUAGGUGUUCAUACUAGCACUCUCAUGCACAACAUGAGUUAGAUGACUUACCUUGGCCUUAGAUUCCACCUGCAUAUUAGCACAUAUUAAAUAGGCACCCAAGCAAUCACAAAAGAUCGAAAUAUCAAUCAAAUCGAUUUAGUCGAUUACAUGUCAAUCGGACCAUUCAUUGGUCAUUUCAAUCAAUAUUAUAUUUUCUGCACGAUGGAAUAUCUAGUCGUCAAGCCCACGUGCUUUCUCCAGGAUGACAUACCAAGUCUUCGAGCCUACGUGCCUUUUCUAAGAUGACCUACCUACUCAUUGAACCCAAGUACAAUUUCCAAUGUGGAAUAUCUAGUUACCGAGCCUACAUGCAUUCUUCAAGAUGACAUAUGUACUCAUCGAGCCCACGUGCAUUCUCCAAGGUGAUACAUCAGGUCACUGAGCCCACGUGUCUCUUUAAGAUGCCAUACUGAAUCAGUGAGCUCACGUGCAUUCUCUAAGGCGAUGCAUCAAGUCACUGAGCCCAUGUGUCUCUUCAAGAUGCAAAAUGUACUCAUUGAGACCACGUGCAUUCUCCGAAGUAAUGCAUCAAAUUACCGAGCCCACGUGUCCUUUUAGAUGCCAAAUGUACUUAUUAAGACCACGUCCAUUCUCCGAAGUAAUGCAUCAAAUUACCGAGCCCACGUAUCUUUUUAGAUGCUAAUACUUAAUCACUGAGCCAACUUACCCUUCUCCAGGUGAUUUACUUUCUACCAUGAUUCCACUAUGAAACAAUGCCUUUCUUUAUAGUUCACAAGUCUACUAUUGAUACUAACAACCGAUACCCAAUUAUUUCUCAAUCAAAUAAUCUAAAAUCAACUCAAUAGGAAUAUAUCAUAGAAAUUCACAAUUUAAUCAGUUCCAUACAAAUCAAAACUUAAUUAAAUAAACGGAUUGCACCACAACAAUCAACAAAAUAUUCCGAUCACCGGCCAUCCCGGUUGAAUUUCCGGAAAAUAAUUAAUUAAAUAAUUAAUUUCAAAAAUUAAAUAAAUAAAUACAAUAAUUCCAAUUUAGCACAACAUAAAGCUCAAUUAAAUAAACAGAUUGCACCACGAUCAUCAACAUAAAAUCCCGGUCAUUGGCCAUCCUAGUUGAAUUUCCGGAAAAGAAAUAAUUAAAUAAUUAAUUUCGAAAAUUAAUAUUUACUUCCUAAAAAUUCCAUUUAUGCCCGAAUUGCCUAAUUAACACUUGAUAAGGGUCGGGAAAAAUCCCAAGAAGUAUCCAAUAAAUACUAUAGGCAAUUCUCUAUCUAAGUACACUAACCACCUAACUAAUAUGCAAUGCAAUUAACUAAUAAUCGCUAAUCCAUUCUAAUUUAACCACCUAAUUACACUUAACUAGCAUUAAUCAACAUUUAAGUAUAAUUAGAAAACUAAGAAGGCAUUGUUGGAGAAAUCCUCGUGAAGAGUUUUGAAGUUGACAAAACGUUUCCAUCAGUCUAGUCUGAAGGUCUGCAGACUCUGUUAGUUAAAGUCUGAAGACUUCCGGACAGCCAGACUCAAGACUCAAAGUCUAUUCUCAUUGACAGUCUCUGAUCCGUUGAAGAAAGGUUAUCCCGAACUGGAUGUUUUGUUCAGGAUUUAACCUUAUCAUCUGGAGAAGAUCUCGUGGCUGGAGAAGACGUAUCAGAAUCCUUUGAUUGAUCAAGUUUGAUUCAAUGACUGAAGAUUCGAUGAUUGUCUAAAUAUUAUUGGAAGGUUCUACUUAUGGAAACCGAGAUCCUGAUUGUAUGGGCGAACAGGAUUGAUGGGCUAUCAACACGUUCCUUUAAUAGCUCGAACGAUCUUCCUAAUUGAUUCCGUCCAACGGGUAGAUUGGAGGAAUUCCUUUGGUAAGUGCCAACGGGUAUGAUGGCAUAAAGGAGUAUAUAAGGAAGACGUCCUUAGUUGUUCAAGGAGUGCGCGAUAGAAGAAUUCCAAAGUCUGAAGCUCCUAAUUGUUUAGAUAAAUCAUUUGAGCGAAUACUUGUAUACAAAAGAGAGUCUAUAUUUGUGAGAGACCUUGAGGAGGUGUGGUAGUACAUCUACGCUGUGGAAUCAAGGCAAAGCUGUGCUGUAACUACUCUUUUGAUCAUAGUGAAAUCCAGCCGGUGGGCUGUCAGUGUGGAAGAGUGGACGUAGGCUUGGAAAAGCUGAACCACUAUAAAUCCUGUGUUCCAAUUUCUCUCUUUCUACCUUGAUCGUAUUUCAAUUUGUUAAGAAUUGCUUCCGUAUAUCGAUAAAUUGUUUGUGCGCCUAUUCACCCCCCCUCUAGGUGUUUAUACUAGCAAUAUCAGGCAUUAGUGAGCAAAACUCACUUGGCAAAGUGAAGACCAGAACACCGCGAUAAUGAUGCAACGGCGGCCGAACUUGGGCUCGCGACGACACCCGCGGGCUUGGACUUGGCUAUGGACUAGGCCUACUUCACGGGCCCAAGAUGGGCUGAACUACUAAAUUUGCUGGGCUUCAAAGCUGGGUUGAACUUCAAAUGGGUUGAAGACUGCUGGAUUGGGCCUAAAACUAAAAUUAAUGGGCUGAAGCUACGGGCUGCAAAUGGCCUAACUGCUGGGCCGAAUUGAUGCAAGCUUCAGGUGGGCUGAAUUGCUAAAUCUUUAGACCAAGGUUGCUGAACUUCAUGGGUUGGCUUGCAUGAAGUUUUUGGGCCGGGCGAAGGAGCAGCAAAGGCCGUCGUUGGGCCUCGACAAUUGAAGACUGAUUGGAGUCUUUGGGUAGCUGGACGUUGGCCGUGUGGAGCUGAGGGCUGUCAAUUGUGGUGGUCUCCGAUGCUGAUUUGUUGACCGUGAAGUGGCUGUAGUCUCGGUGGAUGAAGGCACGUGCGGCAGAUGAUGGCAAAAGCGACCUCUCGAUGGAUUUGCUGGGUCAACAAACCACCUAAGAAGAUGCAAGGUUGAUUGAAGCUUCGAUGGACCUCGACACCGUGGCAGCUUGGAGUGAAGACCGAAGGAAGUGGAUGGCUGCUAGCGGUGGAAUGGGCUGCACAAAGUGGAAGCAAGCUGGCAGAGAAGUCGGUGAAGCUGAGGUAAACGUGGACUGCUCGAAGAGGGUGAUUUCGACAGAGAUGUACGCUGAUGGAGCACGCGACAGGUGGCCGAAGUUGCUAGAUGUGGCCGCUUGGUGAUGAGGCUACUUCGAUUGAUGCAGUGGCAGCAGACGUUGGCAAACCGAAGCAGAGAAGGAGAGGAUUCAGUGGUCAAAAAUGCAACUUCGGUGGAUUUCAUGGCUAGUUUGUUGACCAUGAGCUUGCGGCGUCAAAAGGAAUUGUGGUUGAAGCACGCUCGGUUCGUGAGCUGCGGUCUCACAGGUUGAAGAAGAGAGUAACUGGAGAAAUUGGUGGGCGUGGGGGUGAAAGUUUGAGGGGGAUGAGUCUACACGUGAAGAAGAAAGUGGGAUGGCUCGAGGGAAGGCAAAUGAAAAGAUCGACAGAAGCAGGUGGAGAAAAAGCAUGCGUCCGAGAGAGGAAAGAGAGGAGAGGGGGAGCAAAAAGUCAAGCCCUUAUCCUCAUAAUCAUCAAGCCUUAGCCAUCCCAUUUAUUGCUUGUUCCCCAUUUCUUUCCAACCUUAAUAUUCACAAAUAAACCAAAUUGAAGCUCAAAAUUGCUGCCUUUGCCUUAAUCCGAAUUUCACCAAUAUUAACUUCAAUUCCUCACUCAAAUCACCAAAUCGAGGUCCAAUUUCGAUGAAAGAAAAUACGGAAAAAUUUUCUGCAAGUCCCUAACACUUAAAGACUUGGCUCGGAAGUCCCAAUUUCCUUUAAUUGAGCUUGUCCAAAUUUCCGCUAAUUUUCCGCAGCAUCCGAUUCGAUUUUCCAUAAAAAUUUCGAAAUCUCUGAAAAAUCUUCUGAGACUGAGUUGUCGUUCUUAAAUUUUAUUGUGAUAAGACAGAAUCUUCAAUUUAUGAAAUUAGACUCAAAUUGGCAGUUAAUUUUACUCGGGCACGUUUUUAGUGUGACUUAGGCUACCAGGUAGUUUUCAGAACUUUUUAGGACAAAUGACCCGUAGUCAAUUUUCUUCGAGCCACGAUGAACCCACUCGACACAUUGGCGACUCUCGAUUGUCGUGAAAAUCUAGAGGAUUCAAAUACGGACACAGAGUACCAAAACGACAAUAAAAUCAAAUUAGUGCCGAUCGAUGAGAAUUUUCCAAUUUAGUGGAGUCACCCACGAUCGAUCAUUCAUUUUGGUCGAACCGACAUAUCUCUGAUCUUAAUACGAUUUUUAACUGUGCCGUAAUGAUCUCUAAAGAUGAGCACGGCCAAGAAGUCAAUUCCUAGUCGAAUUCCCAAGUCUAUCUGCCUUAAAGCUCUUAAUUGCUUACCUAAUUAGUCUAGUUAUCUCGUGAGUGGCCAACUCAGAGAAAAACACUGUAAUCGUGUCGAUGAAAUGCCCAAUUCAUCUAAUCGAAAUCAUAACCCGAAAAUCUGGAUGUCCCAUGGCAACAUACUUAGCAACGUCCGUCUUCAUGCCAUACCACUAGUAGUUUUAUCAAAGGUUAUGGUACAUCUUCAUAUUACUAGGGUGGAUACUGUAAUUACUUCAGUGCGCUUCCGCCAUAAUUUCUUCCUUGAGCUUAUCAUGAUUGGGUAUGCACCAAUGCUCAUGGAAUUUCACGGUUUCGUCUCUUGCAAUGCAAAAAUCACUUCCUUUCUUGUCCAUGGCUUGUUUCCGAAGCCUUUGAAUCUCCAGAUCAAUUUGCUGUAAUUUUAUUUUAUCUUAUGUAUUAUUUCUGGCUCAAUUCUAAGUGUAGCCAGCAAACCCGCAAGUCGUCUUAUCUCGAACUUCAAGUCAGAAUCUCGAACUUCUUCUAGGAGACUCCAUUCUUGAGCCAUUAUUUCUACAAGAGAGGACUUACGGCUAAGGGCGUCGGCAACUUGAUUUGCUUUGCCAGGAUGUUAUAAUAAUUCACAAUCAUAAUCCUUCAAAAGUUCCAUCCAUCGCCUUUGCCGCAUAUUCAACUCCUUUUGGGAGAAUAAAUACUUCAAGCUUUGAUGGUUGGUGUAUAUCACGAACUUUUCUCUGGAAAGAUAGUGUUGCCAAAUCUUCAAAGUGAAAAUAAUUGCAACUAGUCAUGAGUUGGGUAAUUCAACUUGUAGGGCUUUAAUUGCCUAGACACAUAUGCCACAACUUUACCAUACUGCAUUAACAUGCAAUUAAGUCCUUUAUGCGAGGCAUCACCAUAUAUUUCAAAACCUCUUGAUCCAAACGGAAAUGCGAGUACAAGAGCCGUUGUAAGUCUCCGUUUUAAUUCUUAAAAACUCCAUUCACAUUUAUCCGUCUACUCGAACUUCACAUCCUUCCUUAAUAAUUGAGUGAGGGAAGCAGCAAUACUAGAGAAUUGUUCCACGAAUCUCCGGUAGUACCUAGCCAAACCAAGAAAAAUCCGAACUUCGGCAACUGUAGUUGGUCUUGGCCAAUUUAUUACUAUUUCCACCUUAGUAGGAUCUACUGAUAUCCCUUCACUAGUCACCACAUGGGCCGGAAAUACCAUGCAAUUUAACCAGAACUUGCACUUAUUGAAUAUUGCAUAUAGUGCGUGUCCUCGAAGCAUUUGCAACACCAUUCUCAAGUGUUGCUCAUGUUAUGCCAUAUUCUUUGAAUAAACCAGAAUGUCAUCAAUAAAUACUAUGACAAAGUGAUCCAAAUACGGCUAGAAUGCUCGGUUCAUGAGAUCCAUGAAAGCUACUGGGACAUUUGUCAAAUUGAACGACAUAAUGGUAAAUUCAUAAUGCCCAUACCAAGUUCUGAAGGUUGUCUUCGGAAUAUCUUCUUUCUUGAUUCUCAACUGGUGAUAUCCCGAACGUAAAUCAAUCUUGGAAAAUACUGCCGCUCCUUGAAGUUGAUCAAAUAAAUCAUCGAUCUGUGGUAGCGGAUACUUGUUUUUUACGGUAACUCGAUUCAACUGUCGGUAGUUGAUACAAAGAUGUAACGACCCAUCUUUCUUUUUUACGAACAGGACUAGUGCACCCCAAGGUGAGGCACUAGGGCAUAUAAAACCCUUAUCAAGUAAUUCUUAUAAUUGCACCUUUAACUCCUUAAGCUCCGCCAAAGACAUUCAGUACGACGCUUUAGAAAUAGGUUCCGUUCCUGGAACCAGCUAAAUAGUGAACUCUAUCUCUCUUUCAGGCAAUAAUCCAGGUAGCUCCUUAGGGAAUACAUUAGGAAACUCUCGUACCACUGGGAUAUCGUCCAACUUUGAUUCUUCAACUAACUUAAUUUUUACGGUUGCUAAGUAACCUUGGCAACCUUUCUUAAGGAGUCGGACAACUUUUGUUACAAAAAUCAUAGGCGUUGAGGGUCCUCCUCCAUUUCCGAUGAAUUGAUAGUUGAUUUCGAUAGGUGGACUAAAUUGGAUUAUCUUGCUAUAGCAGUCCAUUUUGGCUCGUUGUUUAUGAAGCCAAUCCAUUCCGAUGAUAGCAUCGAAAUCACAAAUAUCUAAUACGGCUAAAUCUAUUCUUCCUUCUUGUCCACUUAUGACAAUCCUACACUCCUUGCAUCCCAUAGUGGACAACAUUUCAUGUUUCAUCGGGGUGGAUAUACUAAGAAUCAUCAUUAGGGGUUUAGGCAUCAAUCCUACUAUACGCACGAACCUCUCCGAUACGAAAGAAUGCGUUGCACCUGUAUUGAACAAGGCAUAAGCUAAAUGAUCGUGUAAAGAGACCGUACCUAUGAUAAUGGUCUUGGAGUUCUCCGCUUCUUCCUACAUCAUGGCAUAUACUCGUCCUUGAACUAAAGGACGAUUAUCUUGAGUAGAAACUGUUGCGAUUAAGCGAGCGAUCGAACAAUAAUAUAAACAGAAGAAGAAAAAUAAAUUGGACACCAGAUUUACGUGGUUUAGUCGUAAAGACCUACGUCCAUGAGGAGAGUAGCAACGAAUUUUACUAUAGAUCAAACGAUACAAUGAGAUUACACACUCGAGUCACUCAAACACUCUCUCGGUGUUUCUCAAACCCCAAUUUAACCCCAAACCUAAAGUGUUUAUAAAUAAACAACUCACUUGGAGAUAAACUCACGGCACAAAAUUAUCGCACGACAAAACUCUACGUACGACGAGGCUUCGAGAUCUUGCAACUCUUCUUCAAGCGGCGUGGACGUGCGUGGCUUCGUUAUGCAGACCUUCGACGGCGUGUACCAGGCUAAAAGAAGAAAACCUGCGUAAUAUUUGCUUUUAUAUAUGUGUGCCCAAGGUCAAACUUUUGACCUUGGGCCCCACCUCCUCCUUAGAGCUUCACGUGCAGGAUUCGCAGACUCCUUUCUCUCGGUUCUUCGCGUGGAGAAGCUUCAUGCGGCUUUCCUUUUCUAUUCUGUAAAGGAUUCCACAGCAAAGAGGAAACUUUCCUCACCUUUUAUUUUAUUUUAUAUUUCUUCUUUUCUAGCGAAUCGCUUUUUGUAAAUACUCAAACUCGAGACAUAAUUAACAAUCUCCACAUUGGCUCGACGUUUGAGCCAAAUUACAAUCGCUUCGUAAAAAUUCAAAUUCUGCUGCUACUUUCCCAUAGCCCCCGAUGGGCUCAACCGCCACAUAUAUUAUCAAAGUCCAAGCCUUGCUUGAACUUCGCCAUAACCGAGGACCUCAUCAGAAUACCAACUCCAUAUGCACCUUUAACUGCUCCGCAAGGAUUUUCUGACGCAAUCUCCUCAACCACAGAUAAAGCAAAACCAUUGUCGCAUCCAUAUCUAUUAGGAGAUCGAAUAUGUACCUUGUCAAUAUCAGCAGUUAUAGCAACCAUUGGCUCUAUAGGCUCCACCUCGCUACAAGCAUCAUCUGUGUCAAUUACUUUGCUAGUACCCAUAUACGUUACCUUGGGAGUUUCUGGUCGCAACUCCACCUCAAGCCGAACACCGUCUAGAUCCGUAUUAACACUGCCAAAAAAACUCUUAGCUAGAAGUACUUGAGACUCAUCAAGAGUAACUUCUCUGCUAUUAACAGGUGAAUUUAUAUCUGAACACCACAACUGAUCACCUUGCUCACCUGGUGUAUAGCCAUGGAAUAUGCACAUUGCCGUCUCAUCGAGCUUACCGUCACUCACUCGAAAAUAACACGGGCAACCAAACAUUCUAAUAAUAGUAUAACCAGCAACGUUACUUGACCACACUUCUUCAGGAAUCUGCCAUUCAAUAGCAGUUGAUGGGGAUCUAUUCACUAGGUAGCUUCUCGUACUUAGCACAUCAACUAGAAAUCUCCUAGCCAUACCAGCACUAAAGAUAAUUUUUCGAGUCAUCUCUAGUAAUGUUUUGCUCAUCAAUUCUGCAAAUUGUUGUGAUUUACUGGCACUAGUGUAGCGUUUCACUAUGCCAUCUUUCAUGCAGAAUUUAUUUGCCAGCUCCGAGCAAAACUCCAUGCUAUUGUCAGUCUGCACGUGCUUGAUCGACUUACCAGUCUCCCUCUCGAUCAAAGCUCUUGACUGCGUGAUCCCGACACUAGCAUCAAACUUGUGCCUUGGCACAAACACCAAGGUCUUCCCCAAGCAAUCAAAAGACUCUCAAACAGAUGCAUUCGACGUUUCCGGCGUGAAAUUUGUCAUUGUCUUAUCUUGAAUUUUAUACAUGCCUUCGUGCUUCAUUCCUUUCAUUAUUACCAAGGCACCUCGAACAACCUUCAGAAUUCCACCUUUUGAAGAAUACCUGCAACCAGCUGAAUCUAUGGCACCUAAGGAAAUUAAGUUCUUUUUCAAUUCUGGAACGUGUCUUACUCCAGUCAAUGUCCUCACAAUGCCAUUAUGCAUUCUGAUUUUAACAUCACCAACACCCACAACAUCGCAUUUAGCGUUGUUCCCUAACUGGACUUUACCACUACCCGUGCACUGAUAAGUGAUAAACCAGUUUCUAUUUGGUGUGACAUGAAAAGAACAACCAGAAUCCAUAAUCCAUCCAUCAAACGAUGAAUAAUCAGUGAUAAAAAAGACAUAAUCAACAUUAUCUGCUACAGCUGCAACAUUAUCUGCAGAAUUAACUAUAAUUCCAUUACCUUUCUCAUUCUUAACUUAAGGCAAUCCCUUCUAAGAUGCCCCCUCUUGCCACAGCUCCAACAGACAACAUUAACAGUCCUAGAUUGAUUACGUCUGUUCAUAUUAGUACUACCAUUACCUACACGUGUUUUAGAUAUUCCUCUAUUUUCAUCUACUAAAGCAGCAUAUACAGGUUCGCCAAAUUCUCUUCUAUGAAUGUCAUCGCUCAGAAUCAAAUCUCGAACCCCAUCAAACGUCAAACUUGUUGAUCCAGAGGAAUUACUAACAGCGAUAACGGUAGUAUUCCAAUUAUCAGGCAAUGAGAAUAACAGAAUCAAAGCACGUACCUCAUUUUCAAAACCAAUCUCAACUGAACUCAAUUGACUAACAAUCACAUUGAAUUCAUUGAUAUGAUUUGCAACCGACGCACCUUCUCUCAUCUUCAAAUUAAACAGACGUCGCAUCAAACAGACCUUGUUGAUUGCAGAUGGCUUCUCGUACAUAUUCGACAGGGCUUGCAUCAAAUCAGCAGUGGUCUUCUCCUUCAGGAUGUUAAACGAGAUGUUAUGAGCUAACGUCAGCCGAAUAACACCCAUAGCUCGUCUAUCCAGAAAAUCCCAAUCAGCUUGCUUCAUCGUCUCUAGUUUCUCCCCAGAUAAAGGUAAGUGCAUAUUCAUCUAGUAAAGAUAAUCUUCAAUCUGCAUCUUCUAGAAACUAAAAUCCUUCCCAUCAAAUCUGUUGAUUCUUACUUUUACUUCUUCUGUCGCCAUCAAUUCGCUUCAACUCAGCCAAGCCUGGCUCUGAUACCACUUGUUGCGAUUAAGCGAGCGAUCGAACAAUAAUAUAGACAGAAGAAGGAAAAUAAAUCGGACACUAGAUUUACGUGGUUCAGUCGUAAAGACCUACGUCUAUGGAGAGAGCAGCAGUGAAUUUUACUAUAAAUCAAGCGAUACAAGAAGAUUACACACUCGAGUCACUCAAACACUCUCUCAGUAUUUCCCAAACCCCAAUUUAACCUCAAACCCAAAGUGUAUAAAUAAACAACUCAUUUGGAGAUAAACUCACGGCACAAAAUUAUCGCACGAUAAAACUCUACGUACGGCGAGGCUUCAAGAUCUUACAACUCUUCUUCAAGUGGCGUGGACAUGCGCGGCUUCGUUAUGUAGACCUUCGACGGCGUGUACCAGGCUAAAAGAAGAAAACUUGCAUAAUAUUUGCUUUUAUAUGUGUGUGCCCAAGGUCAAACUUUUGACCUUGGGCCCCACCUCUUCCUUAGAGCUUCACGUGCAGGAUUCACGGACUCCUUUCUCUCAGUUCUUCGCGUGGAGAAGCUUCACGCGGCUUUCCUUUUCUGUUUCGUAAAGGAUUCCACAGCAAAGAGGAAACUUUCCUCACCUUUUAUUUUAUUUUAUAUUUCUUCUUUUCUAGCGAAUCGCUUCUUGUAAAUAUUCAAACUCGAGACAUAAUUAAUAGAAACCCCACUGGAUGUCAUUGGUUGUUGUUGUGAUGGCAGUAUAGUUUGUCGCCUUUGAGGGCAAUCCCUCAACAUAUGGCCAGGUUGUCCACAGCCAUAACAUACUCCUUUUCCAGCUAAACAAGGGGCAUUAUGUGGCAUCCGGAAAUUUUGACGACCCUCGAAUAUGCCAUGAUCCAUGACUAGGUGAUGGAAGCAUCAUCAGACUAAGUCAUUAGUAUCAUGUAUGGACAUUGUUUCGUUAUCACCAUUGGACCGAUGGGUCACGUUUAGUAUGGUCCGAUCAUCGAAUAAAUCAUAGCCUUGUCGGAAUCCCUUUACUUAAGAUUAUUGGUGAGACCAAUCUCAUAAGUAAUUCUGCCGACUUCAGAAAAGGACGACACAUAGUGGAUUGAUGAAUUUAUUAUCGAACUUCGUCUGUUGACACCGAUGUUAGACCCCCGCCGAUUUAUGUACAUAUUUCUCUUGAUGACACGACCCAAAUAGAUCACCUAAGUGUACGUGGAAUAAGAGAAGAAUUUGGAUUUUGAUCAAUUUAUUUUAGAGAGCCGAAAAAAGUGGAAUUCGACUGAGGAACAUGCAUGCCUGCGCGGAGAGGAGGACUUGUCCAUGUCCAAUGCCGCCCCAAUCUCUCUCCAUUCGGUCGACACAUGAGUCAACCAAGGAAGGGAAUGGUUGACCGAAGCAUGCCCAGCAACGGCCAUGUUGCCUCCCAUUCGGUGGCCAGCGCACAGAGGAGGAGGAACCGAGCGGAAGCCACGCCCUCUCCACCUGUCUUCAGCCUUGGUUGCCACCGAAGGAACUCCAUGCAAUUGACUCUCAAAGUCAGCAAAGAAGUGAGGAGGAGAGAGAAGAACCGAAUGAGAAUUUUGAGUGAGUGAGAGAGAGAGAGAGAGUGAGCGAAACUUGAGCAGAGUGAGCGAAACUUGAGCAGAGAGAGAGAGUUCGAGCAAGAGAGGCAGGCACACAAGUGUGAGCCGUGAGGAAGGAAGUGCUCGAGUUGCCGCUGUCGACGCCACUUGUCUUCUCCGCCGUCGAGCCGCAUCGCCGAACCGAGCCCCUAUUUUGCUUGAAAUUGAACUAAAGAGCUUGAGGCAAGUGAAAGUCCAUUAACCUAUAUCAUAUGGUGCUGUUGUUGUCUAGUGGAGUGCAAUAGACUUGGAGAUGUUUGGGUUGUGCAUGUUGGAUGCUGGAUUUUGAAUGAGUAGAAGUAGUUCUCUUAUAAUUAGUAAACUGUUUCAUAUAAAACGCAUGACCUUUGAUGAUUCCGUGAAUUUUCUGUAAUUAGCUAGUUAGAAUUGGACUUCAAACCCUUAAUGAAAGCUGUAGGAAACAUUCUUAGGAAUAACAUAUCAAAAUUUGAGAAUGAAUGGACAAGGUUUGGUCAGUAAAACCUUAGUUGCUUUGAUUCACAGUAUUCGUUACUAGGUUAUUGGUCUAAAAGAAAAAUAAAGGGGAAAACACGGCGGGUAGGCUUCCUAUCCUGAUCCGUGGUCACCCUCGCCAUGCAGGAAUCUCUCCUUUCAAUGGGGGGAUUUGUGAUCGACAUCGGAGUUCCCUUUGGAUUAAUCCACAUUCCAAAGAAAAUCAAGACUGGCCUUCCUUCCUUCCUUUCCCAUUUCUCCGAUCCACGUCUAACAGCCGUACCAUUUCUUUCCUAACGAUUAAUUUUUAAGCAUACAGGGUUCCUUCCAUGCAUUGAUAAUGGCGGAGAUCGAAGAAUUAAUGCACAAAAUCAGUUUGUGGACGAUGUGGAUUCCUCCUUUUCAGCAAUCAGAUAUGACCUGUUCAUCUAAACACUUGCUAUAUGUCAAAGUUAUUUGCAGACUAAUCUUAUAGUCUGUAGCCCUGACGACAUGAGUGGUUCUUGAAAUGUGAAAAAGUUAUAAGUAGGGAAUCCAAUUCACUUUCCAUCCCUGACCACUUUCCGAGAACUGCAGCCAGCUUUGCAAAAAGUGGAGAAAUUAAAAGUUGAACGGCGACAAAAAUUGUGUGAUCAAAUCUACCAUUCACUUCAGCCUUUACCAACAUAUGUACUAAGGACUAUCCGGGUUUCCCUUCCAUAUUCUCCACCAGGAUUGUUCAAUUCUCUCUCUCGUGUGUGUAUAUGUGUGUGUUAGAUUAUAUUUUCUUUUCCUUGAAAGUACCCUACACAAUGUCAUAGUCGAGCUAUAAUUUUUUCACGACUUAGUCAUGUUUUCCUUCAUCUCGGAUUGGAGGGAGUGUUUUGAUUAAAGGGUUACAAGUAUAAACAUCACCUGCUUUUAUAUUUAGAUAUAUUUGAGUGUCCAUUUCGUAUAGCCUCCGAUCGGAUGUAUGGUUUGCAGAAAGCAUUGAGGGUAUAGGUCACAAUAUUCUAUACCUCUCAAUUCCCAUUUUUUUACCAUGUGUAACAUAAGGUUCUGAUCUCCCGCCAGACGCCUUUCAUGUGGUUCGCUGGUUCGCUGGUGAAUGAAGUCAUGAAAGAUAUCCUACAAUCGCUUCCCUUCAAGGGUUCAUUUUUCUAAUAGCAAUAAUUUUGGAACCUCCGAUUGAAGUUUCUUAUGCAACUGCAUAAUUAAACACGUCGGCCUUUCUUCCAUAGAUAAAUCCUUCGCUCUAUCGCCACUUCACUAAGCGUGAAACUCGUGCAUGAUAAACCGACAAAAACUUCACCAGAAACGCGUCAAAACACUAGCAAAACUCACAGGAAAUAAAAAAGACAAGACAAGGAAAAGCCCGGCACCCAUUUGACGGCAAGCAAGCAGCACGAUGUGAAAACCAAAUGAAACAAGUGCAUGAUGAUUUACCGGCUUAUUUUUCAGACGAUCGCGGACGGAUGUCGUUAACAUACUGCAGAGAGCUUAUAACAAAAAGCAUAUUCUCCCGCAUAUUUCUUGCAAUUGGUUCCACGUGGCCAUCGAUCAUUACGCAUGCUUUUGUCCGUCACCUCAUCAGAUAAAAAAAGUCUAUCCAUAUUGGUACCCACGUGCUGAUCUUCCUUUCCUUUCCCCACCUGCUGAUCCUCCUUUCCCCACCUGCUGAUCCACAUAGAACGGUUCUCUUAUGUUCUAUAUAUAUAAAGCUGCUGGAUUCUCAAGCAUUCAAGACCCUCAAAGCUUUGAUCCAUUUUCUCCAAGAACUCGACAAGUCCAUAUAGAGAAGCAGAUGGCGGUUGCUCACUGGCUGGUUCUUUUUGUUACGGUAAUUGUGGUGAGCAAUAUGCGGGAUGUGAAUGGCGCGUUACUAGCAGCGACCUUGGAAGCGAUAACUAAAGCUAACGUGAACGGCCCUUACAUCGGCAUCGUGAUUCCCAAUCUUUUCGAGAUGGGUCCACUUCUUAAUUCAUCGAACUACAGCGCUGCUGAAAUCAUAGAUUUCUCAGGUAACAGUGCAUUUUGUCUUGAUUUAUAGAGUUUCUAGAAAACAUGGAAAAUGUUUUCUUGGUCGAACUUAAACAUGGACUCUUUGUUUACCAAUAUGAAUGUGUGGAUCGGUCAUGAGAGUGAUUGGCUUUCGGUCUGGUCCGAUUCUAUCUAGGAACUGGGAACUGGACCGAGAGGAUCGAUUUUCAAUUUUGGGAUUAGGAAUUGGAUUGGACGGUCCUAGGACCAAGGUCCGGUCCCAUGGAACCAAUAAUUUAGCAAAAACAAUAAAUAAUUAAAGAAAAUACUAGAGUUGUUACUAUUUUUAGGAUUUAUUGCUAUUUUUAAGAAAUUAAAAAAUAUAUAUUUUUAAAAAAGAGUUAGUCUAGUCUGGUCCGGUCCCCCCUCUCGGAAUCGGGAACCGGAUUGACAAUCACUGGUUCCAUUUUUAUGGAAUCGGGAACCAGACUGAUCCUUUUGGGUACUACAUCAAAUCGGUCGGUUUGGUCCAAUGCAGGCAAUUCUCGGUUUGGGCGGUCCGACAUGCUCACCUCUAAUUGGUUUUUUUUUUUUGGUCAUAGAUAUCAUUAGUUAAUUAAUAACUCUUAAAGACAUAUGGGAAAAAAGUAGACGCUGAAUUUUUUGGGGCAUGUUUGGCCACAAAAUUUCACUGAAAAUGAAGUAACAAGGAAGGAUUGAAGCAAAGAGAUGUAGAUUGACAAUGAAUUGUAAAAUAGUUAGUUUCCCUAAUAACGUUCAGGAAAUAAUCUUUCACUUUAUCCCUGACACUUCUCCAUCCCUUGACGGACUCCAAGGUAGAAGAUUUCGAUUCGGGACAGUCGAAGAGAGGAAAGUCAUACUGGUCAUGACAGGACUGGGUGUGGUAUGUGUCCCGCUACUGUUUUCUUCAAAAUUUGGUGCCUGUCCUGUCAAAUAAUCUUUCGAUUUGGUGCCUGUCCUGUCAAAUUUUCAAAAUAUAUUUCGACAACGGCUUAAUUUGGUUGCGACUAAUGCGCUCGUGCGUCGCGAUAUUGAGGGAAAGUACGUAUGAACUGGUGCAGAUAAACGCAGCCAUCACCACGCAGCUUCUGCUAAGCUUCUUCAAUGUGGAGGGAGUAAUUCAUUACGGAAUUGCUAGGAAUGCUAACCCCGAUUUGCACAUCGGAGACGUCGCUAUUCCCCAGUAUUGGGCACAUACCGGUCUUUGGAAUUGGCAGGUUUUCCACUUAUCAACCCGAUUUUGAGAUUCAUCCACCCAAUUCUUCGAUGUGAAGGGAGUAACUUGACUUUUCUUUUUCUUUGCCUUGAAAUUAUGGGGGAAACUCUACAGUGGUUCUCGAAGUACAGGAGAAAGAAACUGUCGAUGCGAUUCGUUAUUCUUUGUUUUUUCCUCCUAAGUUGCAAGUGGUUCUAUUAGAUUGACAUUUUUAUGGAGAUGUUCACACUUAGGAGAGAGACUGGUUUUUUUUUUUUUUUUCCCUAUUACGUACAUAAGCCUACCAUGCACGCUUUUAUAUUCUAAGAAAAUAAUAGCAAUGGGGCGGCUUUCAUAACAUGCGUGUACUAGGGAAAAUUAUCCAAAAAUAUUUAAAGUUAUUGUGCGGCGAUUAGUUGAGUUCAGAACUUUUUUAUUAUGCAAUUAACACUAAAUCUUUUGACAAUUUUCAAAUGUGGUCCAUUUAGUCAAUUGUAACUGCAAAUUAUUGAUAUAGAUCCCAACCGUCCUAUAUAGUAUUCGGUCAUCCACACUGAUAAAUAUCAAAACAAUGGUCUACGCACAGAGAUAUGGGCAGGGUCCAGAAGAUGAACUCACAUUGGAAUCAAACGGAGACUACACGAGAACGCUUGGGCACUUGAGGUUUGCGAAUUACACUACAAACGUCACGGGUUGUGCUUCACACGACAAUCUCUUGAACAACAUAUGGUAUCAACAGGAGGAAGUGUUUCCCGUCACAGGAACUCCUGAAGAAAGACAACACGAGUUCUGGGUCCCCGUCGGUUCCACCUACUUCGCAGUGGCCAAGAAGCUUGAGGUAUUACUGCUCGAUGCUUUCUAGGAUUUGCUGUCGUAUCUAUAUAUGUUGGAAAAACUUUACUGAAACUGAUUUAGAAGGUGAAUAUAUGGCAAAUCUCAGGAAAAAGUGUGCCGGGACCUCUGGGGCUUUCGGAAGAGUUUUACUCAACCAAAAGAAAGUCAGAUGAGAUCAGUACAUGGAAAGACAUUAUUUACAUGAAGAGUAACUAAAUGACUUUAGCAAAAAUAUCAUUCUUGCUUAUCACUUGAAUAACACCGCUUUAGAUAUUUCGAACCAUUAUUUGAAAAGUAUCACAAUCGUGUAGAGUUUCAUGAGUCAAUACUUCAAUAGAGAGAAAUUUUGGCCACCUUUCCUGUCUAUCCAAAUUAAUCAUAUAUGAUGAAGGGUCUAAUUCACACAUAUUUUUUAUGUAUGUCACUCCUUAGGGCUUGAAAUUGAAACCUUGCGUGACCACGUGCUUAAACUACACGCCGAGUGUAAGCACCGUUGAAAGAGGCAUAAGUGCCAGCAUCUACCUUGACAACAGCGCCUACCGGAGCUUCAUCUACGACAAGUUCAAUGUGAGCCCUGUGGACAUGGAGAGCGCAUCGGUCGCCCUAAUCUGUUACCAGCAGAAUACGCCUUUCAUCGCCAUCAGGGCGCUCUCUGACUUGGCCGGCGGUGGGUCUGCCGAGUCGAACGAGGCCGACACUUUCGCUGACCUCGCCUCGGACAAUGCGGUGAUGGUCGUGGUGGAGUUUAUAAAGCAGCUUUCCUCCAGAAACUCUCUCUAAUGGCAAGAUUGGCAGCCUAAUAUAAUGUUCUAUUGUCAAUAAUAAUGCAAUGAUCCAUUGCGUUUGUGUCUAUUGCGUAGCAACAUGAACCCUGAUGGGCCUUGGACCUUGGCAUAGCUGGGGAAGAAACUUCAGCAGUGACCGACUGCCUCAAAAAUUUCCCAUAUCAUUUCCCUUACUUUAAAUCCUCCCAUAGUAAUAAAAGAUCAAAGUCACGAGG